This 86758-nucleotide long non-coding RNA is filed under the name Solanum lycopersicum (tomato). Its description in RNAcentral is "long non-coding RNA (SLYC_LNC000825)". The stretch from base 55882 to 56186 matches the Rfam family "Plant signal recognition particle RNA". Lineage: Eukaryota; Viridiplantae; Streptophyta; Magnoliopsida; Solanales; Solanaceae. The record is from RNAcentral.
AGAGGGGGCAUACUCAGUAGACUAUUUGCAAUAGUGGUUACAGUGAUAUGGAGGGAAAGGAUCUAAAUGCACUUUCAAAGAGGUCAGUUCCAAAUUGAUAGAAUAUCAAGAGAGGUUGCAAUCUACAUACAUGCAAGGGGAGCAAGACAGAAGAAGUGACAAGAUUGCCUCCAACAGUCGAACCAUAUGCCUUAAGGCAGGCCUAUAGUUGUCUUUCUUACCAUGUUUUGUUGAUUGUUAGAUAUAAGCUUAGCUCAAUGUUUUCCUUCAGCACCACUCUGUUUUAGUCCCUACGGUGGUGCUGCUUUAGGCUAUAGAGUUGUGAGAAACAGGGGUCUAAUCCUGUUUAGCAUUAUAAUUUUUGCAGUUUUGGUAAUCAAUAAAAGUACACUUCCCAAAAAAAAAAAAGAGACAAGCAUGAAGCUCUGGGUGGCCUCCACCAUAAAAAUGUUCAAAAUGAGAACCUUGUAAAUAAAACAUGAAAUAGUAAUAACUUAAUGAACAGUAAAUAAACUUGGAGAGAACUACCUUCAGAAAUUUCAGAUUCAUUGAUUUCCUCUUCUUCUUUUACAGUCACCUUGAUGCUCUCCAAGCUCUCAACUUUCUGUUGGUGGCUUUGAGCAUUUUUGGCAGUAAGUUCUUGUUCCUUCCUCUCGAUGUGGUACUUAUUCAACUUUUCUUCAAACUCCUCAAUGCAUGAUUUGAGUUCAGGUUUAGCGAACUUCUUGCCCUAAAUGAAGAUAUUCAAACAGACAGAUAAGGCUUUAACACAGUGAAAUGAAUUCCCAAGAACUGCCGAAAACUAGUCCAAGCCUUGUGAUGCCACAACAAAUCUUACCUUGUUGAUAAUAGUUCGAAAAUUAUCCAUCACAGAGUCUUCAGAUAAGGCAUGUUCAUAAGUCUUAAACAACUCUAUCAACUUUCUCAUGCUUUUAUCAGUGUACGAUAGCUGAGACAGGCAAUAGGAGAUGUAUUCACAUAGCCUAAUAUCUGCAUAAAAAAGGAUGUUAUAACAUGCAGAAGUUUAUCCGGUGAUAAUUCAAAUAGCAAUCAGAAGCUAAUCUAUCCACUAUAGUCUCUUCAUUUAAGGUCUCCUAAUUAUAAUUUUCUUUUUGAUUUUUGCAUGAUACUCCUAAAAACAUGGUAAACAUGCCUGACAUAACAGACAGAAAGGUGAGUACAAAAUCAAGUAUCUGAUGAAGCAUCCACAAAGCCUUGGUGCUAAAUACUGAAAGUCUGGCAACUCCUCAAUCAAUCUCAAAUAAGUAUAUCAUCCUCCUUUAAAGCUUGCAGAAACACGACUCAAAGUAGACAACCUCUGGAUCUUUGAAAUGUAGCGCAAGCAGGGAUUAUCAAGAAAAAAUAUUGUAAAAUCUAAAGCUAUAGCAGUGGAGCAAGGUGGCAUCAUGAUUUAUCCACAAAAAUGUGAAACCUCACCGAAAGUUGUGGAAAAUCUCAAUGCAAAGUUUACAGUUAAAAAAAAAAGAGACAUCCAUGUUUUCCAAGUAUAUGCAUUCAAGACCAAAACUAGGGAAGAAAUAGACUUUCCGAUUUCCGACUAACUUCUUUAAUUAGCAUAGUGUAAACUUACAGAACAGAUAUCCUUGCAAAAUGCAAACCACAAGUACCCCAUACAUUUUCUCUCCUAAAUUAUUGAUCAAUAGUUGACAAUUUAUAGUUAGAUCAAGUACACAAAUUCAAUAACACAUCAAAACUAUUUUCAAAUUCCAUACCAGUAACUCCACUGAAUCUAUUGCAAAGCUUUUCUACAAGAGCUUCCAUUUGCUUGUCCUAAAAAUACAUAUAAACAUUUCAGUCAAUCCUAUAGAAAGAGCCAAAAAAGAAUGUCAAAUUCAUGGUACCUUCUUAAUUGAAGCAAUUAAAAAUUGCAUGAUGUUGCAGAAAGAUUCUUCCUUCAAGUUCUGGACAGAUAACUUCCCAAGGAUAUCUGGAAGUAGGUUAUAAACUGGAUUGUUCCCUGUAAACAUUAAGUGUAAAGAAGCUCAAUAGUAGAAAGACUAGAAAAGAUGAACUUCUUUAUUAGGAAUUGAUGAAAGAAAAGUUGGGUAGACAUUCUACCUUUCUUUGACAACUCAUGAAAGAAAAGUUUGGCAAGAUUUGAAAUUCUUUCAUCUUCAUCUUCCAAACAAAUGGCCAUUUCAUUUAUAUAACCUUUCACCUAAUAAUGGUAGACGCAAGUCAAGAUGACAAAAAUUCUACCACAUGAAAGCUCAGUAUAAAUGAUUGAUAAUCCAGUCAAACCUUCAUCAUGUCAUUCAGUAUCAGAUGAGAAAGAACCAAUACAGCAUUCUUCCGCACAGAAACUGAUGGAUCUCUUAAUCGUGCAUACAUAUUCUCUGUCCAUGGCUCUAAGAGAUUAGGAAAACGAACUGCCAGAUCUCCAAGAGCAACAGUGCAAUUUGAUCGAACUGUUUCAGAUGGUGCAUUCUCCACAACAGUGAAAAGAAGCUGGAGAUUUGCUUCACUAGAAUGUAACAUAGACACAUGUUUAGAACUUUUAACAAAAAUCUUAUGUAAUAAAACAAGAAAAGAGGAAUUGAGAAAAAGCCUAACCAGAAGUCGACAUCAAUUAUCAUAAACCGGCAUAAUGCAAGCAUUCCAGAUGCUUGUAGUUCAGGGUACUGGAAGAGAUACAGAAGAUAUGUCAGUAUCCAUUAAAUGAUGUUGGAUUGAGACUACUGAUUCAACAAUGAAGUAAACUGUCCUUGGGUAUACUAAUAAAGUUUGGAGGUUCUCUUUUCUUCGAUGAUAAAAGUCUAGAGCCACAGCAUCCAAGUAACAUAUCAAUAGAACACGAAACCAAUAUUUCACAUUUGAACUCCAAAGCGACAAAAAAUUUAUUAACUUAAUCUGAACAAAAAGUGCAUCAUUCACAGUCGGUGGAACUGCCUUUCAAAUUCAUACUGGUCCAUCUGAUUAUGGAGAUUCAUGUGAGUUAAACAAGGAGCGAAAAACAAAAGAGGUCCGUAUAGUUCCAGUGUUUGAAAGCACAAAAACAUAGACAGUAUAGGCAUAACAAUUACCUUCUGCAUCAAACUGUAAUUCCUACAGAGUUUAGAAAGAAAAGGUGCGCAAUGGCCAAUCAAAUUUCUUUCACAGGAACGUCCUGAUACAAUUUCUUUCUCUGCUCUUUCAGAUAAUGUAUCGAGGAAUGCAUCUUCAGAAGCUGCUAGUCCUAGCUCUGCAUUGAUACCAUUAUCCUGCAAAAAAGAAGAACAAAUGUUAUAAAGUAUUUAAAGUUUAAAAUGGGUGCAGACUUUAUCAAAAAUAUCAAUUUGCCUCAAGAGCCUUCUCACCUUCGGUGGACCAGUAUUAUCUGUGGAAUCACCCUUAUCCUCCGUAAUCAUUUUCUCUCUCUUUGCUUUAUCUUUCUGAAUCUUGCGGACCCAAGACUCAAUGUAAACCAAUUGAUUCAAAGCUACAUGGCUUACAACAAAAAGAAGCCUGCUGAGUUUUGUCACUUGAACUGUGGUUAGCAUGUUGGAGCUACCAUUUUGGAGCUCAUCCCCUCCACUGCAAUCAAAUACAGAUCUAAGAGCUUUCUUCACCAGAUCAGCAGCCAUUUUGUCAGGAUACGGAUGGAUAGUAUAUAUGGAAGCUAUUGCUCUAUCUGCAGCAGCAUACCAUAUAUGCUCAGGAAGCCAAAAUCCAGUAACUAAGCUUUCUAAGAUACUAAAAACCCGAUUUCCGUUAGUGUUUAACAAUUUUUUCUUGUCCUCUUCAGACAGCCUCUGAAGAGCAAGGCAUGCUGUCCUAGCAAGUAAAGGUUCCACUUUUGCCCAACGCCCAAAGCCUAUGUCAAUGAUGUCUUGUAAGUGAGAGCUGAGAACAGAAUUUGAUGUUUUUGCUGCCAUGCAUAAAAUAGAUAAAGCACCACGACUUUGCUCUGCAGUUGUUCCAGCAAUAUUGAAACAGAAGAAAUCCCAUAAUGCUGACAACUGCAAUAUUAAAAGAAUUAAUAUUAAAGUUAUCCUUUAGCUUUAGGAAAAAAAGUUAGAUGAGUUAGGCAUCAGAUAAGUAAAGGUUAUCCAUUUGUUAUGACAAUGAGUUAAUUGACGUUAAGCCAAAGUGAGUUAAGCAAAGGCGAUAUAGCUUAUUGAAGUCAACAGAGUAGUCACUUUCCAAUCAUGCCAGAGAUAUUACGCUGUUAGCACCAUUCUUUUUCUUUUUAAAAAAAAAAAAGAUAUUAACACCACCAAUUUUGUCAGUUUGCAGUUUUUCUAACACAAUAAAUUUACAAAGCCUUUAAUCCUCGUCAAGUCUUUAAUAUGUUGUUAAGUAACCCUAGCUCUUUAUUGAUAUCAAGUUUCAUAUUAUAUGAAAGACGAUUGCUUCUUCUCAAAUACUAAAUUUAUAGGUCCAAGCUGGAAUGAAGGAUAAAUUACACUUUUUAUUUGAUAUAAUGAUUAUCUUCAGCCACGCUACAACAACAACAUACCGAGUAAAAUCCCACUAAGUGAAGCCUGGGGAGGGUAGAUUGUACACGGCCCUUACCACUACCUUGUGGAGGUAGAUUUCCACGCUAAAGUGUUCCAAAUGAAAUGCACAUUGUAACACUUAACCCAUCGCUUUCUAGCUCAUGCUUAACAACAAUCUCUAAAGCUACUAAAUCAGCACACAUCACCCAGUACCAAAAUAAACAUCUGAUAUUCAUUUCCUAAAUAUAAUUGAGUAAAUUAAAAUAUGACAUGUGCUCUCCACCAUGAACUCCUCAAAAAAAUAAAUGCAACCAUUCUACCAUGCUUCAAAACAAAUUUAUAACUUCUUGAGUCAUGCCUCACUAGAUUUCUUAUUUAGCAAUUCAAAAGAAUAAACAAUUGGAAUGAGUUUAUAGAUUACAUACUGUGCUGCUCGUCAAGUCGCCCUUGGACAUUAAGGCUCCAAUUAAGAACUCCAGUGAAGCAAGAUCUCCAAUAUUUGUAUCGGUAGCAAGAUUCAAGAGAUUUUUAGCAGUUUCCUCUGGGCUCUUCCUUACAUAUAUUGUAAUAAAAGCAUUCUCAACAGCUUCAUAAAUUGCUUUGUCUUGUGAAAAUACCUGCAGAUGUGCUUUAUCAGGUCAAAAUGUAUAAUAGUCCUCAUCGAUAAAACAUAUUGAAAUCAGCUGUUGCUCCGAAUAUAUAAAGUUAACAUACCAGUGGCAACAUUUUCCGGAGGCAGGCUUCUGAACCAUCUAUUUGGAACUGUCUGCAUCUCAUCAGUAAAAGAAUUGUGUUCUCCACAUCUGUGGCAGAAGAGGAAGCCAUUAAUUGGACAAGGGUUGGCAUUGUGGCGGACACACAAUUGGAGAAUCUCAAGCCUGCCUCCAGCGAUGCAACCAAGGUCCUUGUUUGCUCCAAAUUCCCAAAAUCUGGCACAGAAUCGUCUGUCUGGCCUAUCAUAUCUUCCUCAUGAGGCAAGCAGCUGUCUGUCAGACUGUCAGACUGUUCCUUGUUCAUCUCUUCACCCACAUUGAGGACCUCCCCAUCUUCAUUGCUAAUUUCAUCACAGGAAGACAGUCCAUCCAAAACACUUGUUGGCUGAGCCUUCGGUCCUAGGUCAUCUAACUUUUUCUUGUAUUGUUCUAAGGUUGCUUCAAAAGAUGCUGCUCGAAGCUGGGGUCCAAAGGGAUUGUGCUGCAACAUCAUAAUAAGUAAAUUCAGUGCAGAUUUUCUGACAAUUGCACUCUUAUCCUCUAACCUCCCAGCCGCUACUUCUGCAACCUCAUUCCACAUGCCAAUUGAAACUGAAUGUUCUUCACAUAAUUCAGCCCAGACCUGAAGCACUCGACUCCUUGUAUAGGCUGACACAUCCCUACAACGUUCCAAUAAAAUUUCCAACAUGGCCUGCUUGGUUCGGAGACGAAUCGAUUUAGAACUCACUUCACCUUCACCGUCGUCGAAAGCCUUCAUUACCAACUUACCCAACACCCCAACAAGAGCAUUUCUCAUCUUAUAAGAUUCACCUCCAAAAUGUGGGAUUAAUAAGCCAAUAUUAGUUGAGAUCAACUUAGGCAUUCUAUCAGCGAGCUCUACAAGAAAGCGCCCAACAUUUUCAGCCCCUACUGUAUCCUUCACAUAAUCUUUCGGGGCAGUCCUUCCUAUCUCUCUGAUAAGAGAAGAAGCCAUGCUACCAUCAGCAUACUUCUUUUCAGCCCAAGCAACUGCAUCAGCCAAAUGGGAAACUGCAAAAUCUAAUUUGUGAACCAGGUGCAAAAUUGAAGCACAUGAUUGUGCAGCAUAGUGGUAUUUGGUAGCACAUGUCCCGAUUAUGCGAGUCAAGGCGUCUUUUGUGUCUGAAUCUUUUAAGACUGCCGCAUUCUCAAACAGCGAAAAAGCAUUCCUGCAGCAAUCCACAUCAUCAGAUUGAGUUACUACUUUGAUCCACUUAAAGAUAAUCAGCUCAACAAAAAGAAAGAAAAGCCCUUACUUCACAAUGAAGGACAAGUAAUUUUCAUCGGGAUCCGAUGAUCCAAACAGCAUCGAGAGGUUGAUCUCUAAUGAAUUUGCAACUGAAUUCAGUAUCCUUGCCCGUUGUGGCUCCCAAUUCCAUGCACUAACAAGUUGCUUCUUUCGACUACUAGCGACCACCUAGAGCCAAUCAACAUACUAUCAAUUGCCCUUGAAAUUUCAGUAUGAAACAAAAAGGAACAUAUGCUUUCAAGAAGAGCUAUAAAGAAAAUAAAUACACACAAGGACAUCACAAAAUCAACUAAACUCAAAAUCUCUAGUAUCCCUUGAAACUCCGCCUGGGAUCAUUUUAGUACUCCCUUUGUUUCAAUCUGUUUCACUUACCUUCCUUUUUAGGUUGUUUCGAAAAUAAUGACUUUUUCCUAAUUUGGCAAUUCUUUGAUUUCAACCUCAUGUGUUGCAUGUUUGAGACCACAAAAUUAAAGAGCAUUUUGGUACAUUAUACAUCUUUAAGACUACAAAAUUCAGAAGUAUUCUUUACAUACUGAAACUUGGAGUCAGGUCAAACUAAGACAAACAAAUUGAAACGGACGGAGUAACAACCUUUAAUCAUUUUUAGUAUCAACAGGAUUACAAUAUCCCUUGCCCGCAAGAAUACACAUUUAUACAUGCAGUUGAAAUUGACUAAAAACAGUAAAUUCAUUAUAAGCAUUUCAUAAAAUUGCACUCCUUGUGAGUAUACUACAUGCAUCACACACACAUACUAUCAGAUAAAGAAAGAAAUUUACUUUUGUACUGUUGUUAGAACUAGAUGUAGACUCCUCAAUGAGCACAAUGUGAAUGAGGAAGAAAGUGUAUAUUUUGAAAGCAUUUCGAUAUGAUGCAACUCUAUCAGCAAGCGAACACUCAUCCUCCUCACUGUCAUUCUUCUCUUCAUCAGCAUUUCCAUCCUUCUGCUGAGAUACCCUCAAGAGGGAAUCCACAGUGGGGAGCAAAACACUGAGGUUGGACCUAAGAGACUCCACCAAAUUGAGCUUACACCCUGGAGUAAGACAAGAAAACUCCUUCACCAGUGAAUACACACGGUCAAACACAUCAUGCUCCUCCACACAGAAUAGCUCUUUGUCCGAUAGGUCAAAAGAGACGCCUGUUUAAAUUAAAAAAAUUAGAGAACCAAGUAGAAAAAAUCGAAAAAAAAUAAGAACCCAGUUGCCGAAAUCGAAAAGGAAUGAGAACCCAGUUGCCGAAUUCGACAAAAGAAGAAGAACCCAUUGUGAAAAAUUGAAGAGCACGCAAUAGGUAAGUUCAAAAAAAAAUUAUAAAUUAUCGAAAAUUGACCUUUAAGCUGAAACCCAAGAACAGAAAAGAACAAACCUUUGACAAAUUCUUCCAAUUCAGAAGGACGGAGAUUGCUCAGUGAAGUGGGAUUUUGAACUGAUAGACAGUUGCUAUCGGAGUCUUCUUCUUCCAGAGAGUAUAAAUUUGGGGGAAAUAUGAAAGGUGGAGCCAUUUUAGAGAAAUGGGGUCAAAGAUUUGAAGAAUUUCUACAGAAAAUAAUGGUGUAAACUUCCUAGAUCGGUUAGAUUUUUGAAUUCACAAAAGCUUAAGCAGAAGGAAGAAGAAGAGGUUCUGGGAAUGAGAUGAGAAAAUUUGAAAUGAAAAAAGAACCGUAGGGGAGCGGGAAUACAAUAUCAUUUAUGUUUCGGGUUCGAGUUCUAAUCAGGUUACGAAACUUUACAUAAAUUUGAAAUAUUUAUGUAAAUUUAAUUUAAUAGAAUUUCAAUAUAAUUAUCGAAUAAUAGAUGGAAAAUCAAAAAAAAAAAGUCACUCAUCUUAUUUUUUAUAUUUCUUAGCUUUUUAUUUGGAUAUUUUUUAAGCGUCACUUUUAACAUAAAAUAUUAUAUUCCUUAAGCUUAAAAUUCGAGACAUAUGGUUAAGAUUGGAUAACAUUAUUAUUAAUUUUUAUUCAUCCUAAUUUCUAUUAUUUUCUAAACACAAAAGGCUAUUUUCUUUAGGGGUAUUCUAAUGGUAAAUGUUAUAUUUUUAAGACUUAAAAAUUCAAAAUAUUUAAUUAAAUAUCAUCAUUUAAUUACAUCGCAUCCUAAUUUAUACUAUUAAAAAAAGGAAAAAAAUUUCAUAUAUGGUAAAUGUAUUUGAUUAAAUAACAUUAUAUGGGUAUAGUUUACCUAAUUACAUUAUAUGAGUAUAGUUUAGUUAUUAAAGGUGUCUUUAAUUUUGUAUAUAAUUUUUUUAUUAUUAUUUAUACAAUUCUAUUUUAAAAAGUUGUUUGUAACUGAAGCAUUAAAUAUGGUAACAAUAAAUCAAGAUAAUGCCACAAUUUUAGGGAAACGUCCUUUUUUUAAGCUAAACGUUCAAAUUCAAAAAAAAAAAAUCAUACAGCCAUUGAAACAAAAAAAUUAUAAUUAUUUUUUUGCUCUUUGUGAAACUGAAGUUCAGCAAUUUUUGCAAUCAAAUACAGAUAAGUUUUUAUUCGAUGAAAUUUCUUGUUUAUUAUUGCAAUAACUAUACAAUGUUAAAUUGGUUUUAGAAUUUGUGAAUUGUUUUCGAUCGUUUGUUUUUAAAAAAAAAAUCAAAAUAUGAUUUUGUUAAGCUGAAAUUUUGCAACAUACAAUUAUAUACUGUUCAUGUAAUUGUAUAUGUUAUUCGCGAUAUUUGUAUAUUUUGAAAGCGACAAUAUUUAAUCAGUGUUCAUAGUUGUAUAUAUUCAUAAAUCAUGUGUUUUAUUUUUGAUAGAAUUAUGUACUAUUGUAGAUGUAGUCUUUGUAUAUUAAAGAGAAUAACAGUAUAAAAAUUCUAUGUCAUACGAUUUAUUUUUGGAAGAAGUAUACACUAUUGUAGAUGUAGUGUUUGUAUAUUAAAAAAAACAACAGUAUAAAAUUUCUAUAAUUUGAUUGUAUAAAAAUUGUUGUAUUAAUUGUAUAUAUGAUCUCAUUGAAUUAUUUAUAUAUAAAUAUUCUUUUCAUAAAUGUACAGAUAAUGGGCUUAUUAGCUAUUUUGGUUAUGCAUUCUGAAAAAUGGGACGAUACAAAUAGUUACGUUGAUUAUACUAUAGAAGGAGUAGUUUUUAAGGAACAGUCAACAUUUCUUGAUUUUUAUACUACUAUUGUCAAACAGAUUGGUGUUGAUAUGAAUAAUAAGACUUUGAAGAUAGAGUACAAGGUUGAAGAAAGCAAUAAAGGAAUGGUUAUACACAAUGACAUGGGUGUCAGAGUGUACGUAAUGCUAAAAAAGGCAAACAUUGAUUUUAACAAAUUUCCUAUUUGUAUAACUAUUUUGAAUUCAUGUGAUAGACAGAUUUGUAUAUGUAUAUAUACUCAAUAUAUACUAACUUCAAUAAUUGUAUAUAACUAAUAUAAUAUACAAAUUCUAAUCAUAUAUUCAAAUUUUCAAUCUGUAUAACUAAGUCCAAUUACUUUUUUUUAUAUAUAUAUACAAAAAAUAAAUAUAAGUUAUAUUGAUAUGUGUACAUGAAUAUAUUAGUUAAACAUGAUAUUAUAUUCAAUAAUUUGUAUAUAACUACCAUAAUAUAUAAAUUAUACUCACAAAUGAUAUUUUUCCAUUUAUAUAACUAAAUCCAACUACAAUAUGUGUACAUGAAUAUAUUAGUUAAACAUGACAUUAUAUUCAAUAAUUUGUAUAUAACUACUACAAUAUACAAAUUAUAAUCACAUAUGAUAUUUUCCCAUCUAUAUAACUAAAUCCAAUUACUUUGUGUACUAACUUCAAUAAUUUGUAUAUAACUAAUAGAAUAUACAAAUUCUAAUCAUAUAUUCCCGUAUACAAUACUUAAAUAUACUAUAUACAAUUACUAAAACAUGGAAUAUACUAUAUACAAUACUUAAUUUAAUAUUUUUUUGUAUAUUGACAACUAAUUAACCAAAAAAUUGUAUGUAACAUUGUGUUUUAAGACAGUACCUCUUGAUUAUGAAGUUCUUCAGAUCCGACUACUUCAGAAGCAUUUUCCUCUGAUUCAAUGUUUACAGCUUUCCUCUUUCUUCUUCCUUGUACAAUUUUAAUGCCUCUAGCUUUGGCAACUUGUUGUACUGCCAUAUGGUCGUUUUUUUUCUUUGAUCUCAGCUCUUCCAUGGUUUGUUCUUGUAUAACUUUAUUUGAUUUCCCCAAAGAACCUACAUCAACCCCAAAAUCUUGAGUUAGUCCCAUUGAAAAGGAUGGUAAAAUGUCAACAACAUUGACAUGCAAAGGACUAUCUCUUGUAAUCCUCAACGAUGAAGAUGAUUAAUUCAUUGUUUGACCAAAUUUAAAUCUAUCAAGAACAAAAAAUCGAUUAUUUCAUUUAAAUAUAUGAAAAAUAAUAAUAAACAGAACACAUAUACAAAUUUUAAAUAAGUAAAAAAAAAAGGUAAACAACUAAAAUUAAGGAGUACUUACGAAAUUGACUUCAGCUUGGGGAGGGAACUGGGAGGGAGAAAUCUAAUUUUGGAUAACAAUUUGAAUUUCAAACCGGCUAGCUGGAGUAUUGAAUGUAGGAGAAAACGUUUGAAUGUUAAAAGGAGAGAGAAAAUUAUUUUUUGUAUAAUUAUAUACAAAAUUAGAAAAUAAGGUUUUUAUACAAUUGGUUACAUAAUAGGUUGUGGACCCCAUUAAAUAUAGCAAAAAAAAAACCAUAAUUAUAUAAGGUAAAUAAAUUAAACUAUACCCCUAAAAUAUAAUUAGUUACGAAUGUUUGCCAUUUUAUAUAAUUUUCCCUUAUUAAAAAAAUUAUAAUAAACAUUAAUUAUCAACUUGCUAAAAGAUAUGGAUAGUAAAGGUGUAUAUAACUUUAACCAAUUAUAUAUUUUUUAAAUUUAUUUAUACUUUAAAAUAAAAAAUAGAUGUAAAAUAAUAUUUACCCCAAAACAAGAAAGGAUAUCAAAUUCGGACCCAAAAUCCAUUCGAUCUCUCUCGGGUUGCAUUUCAAUUGUAAGUCCAAUUGUUUCUCUCUCUAGAUUUUAGUUUCUGCUGUCUCUCAUGAAGAGAAAACCCAAAAAUCCCUUUUUGAAUUGUAGUUUUAUGAUGGUAAAUUGAGUUGUAAUUUGUAGAGGAAGUUCAAAAUGACAUUGUUCUCCUUUGUGAUUGUUUUCGCACUGGUAUAUGUUAACUAUGUGAUGAUAAUCCACAAAAUUUGUGUUGGGUUUUUGCUAAUAUUCGUUAAAAAUUUAAUUUUGAAUAGUUUUGUUUGAAAAAGGAGAGAAAUGAGGCACCCAAGAUGAAAUAUUUGUAUUGUAUGUUGAGUUGUUAAUUCUUGGGUAAAUUUACAAUCUUUUAGCAAACUCUUUGAGUUUAUGGGACAGUGAUUUUGAUUUCUAACAAAAGUGAAGUUUCAUUUGCUUAAACUUAUCAAUGAGGAGGUGUGAGGAUGCGCUAGUGAGGAGGUGUGAGAGGUUGGUUGUAGCAGGAGUUAGGAGAGGUAGCGGUAGGCUGUAGAAGAAUUGAGAGGAGGCGAUUAGACAGGACAUGACACAGUUUUAGCUGAGCGAGGACAUGACCUUAGAUAAGAUGGUAAGGAGGUCGAGGAUUGGUGUAGAAGGUUAGUACGUAGUCAAGGGUUGUCGUACUUCUAGUAGUAUGAUUUAGGUGUCACAUAGUCCUCUUUUCGCACUGUGUAUCAAUAGUUGUUUUACACUUGUUUUGUACCUUUGCUAUGUUGCCGUCUCUUUUUCUUUCUUAUUUUUCUGCAUCAUUUACAUUUCUUUAAAGCCGAUGGUCUAUCGAAACAACCUAUCUAUCCCGCAGAGGUAGAAAUAAGGUUUGGAUAAAUCUUACCCUCCCCACACCCACUUAUGGGAUUACACUGGGUAUCGUUUUGCUGUUGUUGUUGCUUAAAUCCUUAUCAGCCUGUCAAGACUGGCCCUUGAGUUGAUCUUGGCAUGGUGUUAGAGACGGAGACAUAUUGAGGAUUUUAAGUUAGUGGGUGAGGAGUACUACUGUACUUGCUACUUGUUUGUGACGUUGAGUGUGAACUUAAACAUAUAUACACAAACAAAGAUGAGAUGCACAGAUGGAGAAAUGGUCAUUCAAGUGUCUCUAUGUGUAUAGUAAAUACUCCUUUGUGACAUCGAGUACUAAAAUCAACAUGGAUAACCACAUAAAGAUGGCACAUACUAAGGAAGAAAUGGUCCUGUAUGAGUUGAAUUGAUGUUGAAUUGAAGGUGGUGGGUUCAUCAUCACCAGCUAUCUAUGCAUAGCAUCUGCCACUGGUAGAUCUUGAUAGUUGACUCUCUUAUUUUCUUGAUAGAGUAGUUAGUAUCUCUAAUAACUUACAGUCAUUUCAUCUAAAAGGAUAUGGAUAUAAUUAUUUCAGAGUUAUUUAUGUAGUCCACUUCUUUGUUAUUCCUUACUGUUAUCUUGCAACGUAUAUCAGGUAAGUGUUUGUGUACUGAUUUUGGCUGAAGGGUCUGAAAAUUCAAAAGGGAGGAACAAGAAAUAGAAAGAAGGACAUGAGUGAUAUAGUGGGGGGACCUGAUCCUUCUGCAAUUACUUCAGUAACAGCAGAAUCAUCAAAAACUACUGGUUUUGAUGCAAAUCGAAUUUCUGAAGUGAAAGCUUGGCUUACUUCACAAUUUGACGCUGUGGGUAAAGAUGUCCCUGAUUUUGAGUACACUCCUCGAAGCAUCGCUGAAUUACACAAGAUUGCCACUCUUUCGCAAGCCAAAACUCAAGCCUCUGCUAUUGUUGCCAAUGAUUACCGCCAAAAAGCAGCUGAGUACAGGUCCCAAGGUCAUAGUUUUUCUGUUUAAACUACUCGAACCGGCAUUUGGUUCAAAAUUGAGGUUGUUGUCCCAUUGAGCUGAUUAUAUUAUUUUGAUUGCAGCUGCUAGGAUAAGAGAGAUACUGGAGAGUGUGGGAUUGGCCCAAGAGAGUUUACCAUCUAAUGUGGUUUCAUCUGCACAUGUUCUUGCCAAGGUUGCAAAUUUGUUGGAUGUUAGAGAUACUGAAUUAAGUAGGUAAGUCACCUUUUUUCACUAAUUAACCUUUUCUUAGUUCUCACCCCUUUAGUUUCGUUGUCUUACUAGGAGAAACAUUGUAGUUUUCUUGUUGCAGUGGCAGAUCUUUCUCUACGGAAAACAGCAGUAGAAGAGAAGAGAGCUAAAGUGCAGCAGGAAUCAAAAGUUCUUCUUGAAUACACUCGAAAGGCAAUAGCAAGAUUGACUUAUUUGAAAAGGUAAAUCUUUUGUUACAUUUCAUCGCACUCUUCAUGAAAUAAUGUUGUGGAAUGGGGUAAUAGGUAGCACAACUGGGAGUCAAUGUUCUUAUAUCGUUAGUUUGACUUCCUGGCACUUUCUUGCUGCCGUAUUUUGUUUCAAGAAAUGAAUACUUCUCUUGCCAAAAAGAAAUCAUGGGUCUUUCAGUUAAUCAAUGCCAUCUUUCAUCUCUUAGCUUUAUUCUGUGUUUCGGCAGAACACUUUCACAGCUUGAAGAUGAUAUUGCUCCAUGUGAAGCACAAAUGGAGAACUGGAAAACAAACUUAGCAAUUAUGGAGUCAAAAGAGAGGCAGUAUUUGCAGGAGUAUGGUUAUUAUAAGGUAACUUUACUUUUGUCUUAAAUAAUUUGCUGCAAAUUUAUGCAUUUCAUUUUCUUCUCCUAGUCAAAAGUCAAGAUGCUGUUACGAUAUUUAAUUAUCGUAUGGGCUGUUAUGAGACAUCUUUUUAUGUAGUAUAUCCUACAAAUGUGAGCUUCAAGUUUAUUAGUUUUCAUGACGCGCCCUUUUUAACAUUCAGCUAGUUUCCAUGGAAUAGGUCUGUAUAUACGUUCUUGUGUUCAUGUAUAUGUGUAUGAAUUUCAUAUCUUUGAGUUGCAUUUACUUUUGUGAAGAAGAAAGCUUGAUGCAAAAGUCUUUAUAAUAUAGAGAAGAUUCAAUAUCCGUCAGAUGAUAGUUUGCAACUUUUCAAGUGAGUGUUUUAUUUAUUUCUCUUCUUCUGUGCCAAAAAGAGAUGGGAGAUUUGUUAGUACCAAUUUUGUAAAGAUGAAAAGGUCGCCCAGCAGUGUCUCUCUUCACGUUCUAUGAUAAAUGGAUGAUCUUAUGCAAGGUAAACAGUCAUGAGUUGGCUGGAUAUGAGGAUUGAUGAAGGCCUCUAGAGGGCUCUGCUAUCUGUAAAUAUCUAAUCCUCCUUUUCUCCCUACUAGUGACAAAGGUGAGAUAAAUAGUGGUUUGGUCAUAAGUUGUCGCAAACCUUGAGUCAGAAGGCACAAGGCAGCACUUCUAGGACCAGAUGUGCGAUGACUGGCAAGGGCUUAUAGUAAGGUCACUUCUGGAGGACUGGCAUGCACAUGUACGAUGACUGGAUGAGUCAGAAGGCAGUACCUCUAGGACCAGAUAAAUUGCUUCGCAGGCCCAAAUUAUCGUUUUAUGAAGCAGUAACUUUCUAUAUAAUCUGUCAUAAAAGCUACUUCUGCUGUGUCACACAUUUUAUUUGAUGAUCUACCCUUCAGCAGGCAAUUUCUUCUGAAAAUAGAAAACCUAUUUUAAUCUGAAAAAAUUGGAUCCUUUUUGCCUCGACAUGCUAGGAACUUUGUGAUCUGAAUGUAUUACUUGCACCUGAUCAUAAUUUUGUGUUUUCGUAUACCUGAAACCGUGAAGUGGAUGUUAAAAGGCCUUUGGAUGCAGGCUGUGCUCAAUCGUGUUGGUUACACCCCAGAGAUAAGUCACGGGGUAUUGGUCGAGAUGGCAGAGCAUAAGAAAGACUUGGAGAAGAAAACAAAACCAAUUCUUGAUACUCUGAGAAGCUAUCAAGACUUACCUCCUGUAAGUAUUUCUAAACGUGAAAUAUAAGUUCCAUUAUUCUCGUCUCUCAAAUUAUGCUGCUGACUGUUUGAGACUUCCAUCUGCAGGAUAAAGCCUUAGCAGCGUUGGCAAUCGAGGACAAGAAAAGACAGUAUGCUGCUGCUGAGAAGUACCUUGAAGAUGUGUUGCAGUCUGCUCUUGCCUCCUCAGAGUGACGUAGAAUGCUUUUCUUUGAACAUCGCCUUCACUUCAGCUCGUAGUGCCUUGCCUGUCAAAACGUUUGGUAAAUGAGAUUGGGAUUGAUUUUCUUUCGACUCGUUUGCUAUUUUUAUCCUUCACUUUUUGUAUGUGCCAUGAUGGUGUAUUCUCAACACUGCAGAUAACUCAUUGACUCAUUAUGAUGUGUAAUUUGAACAGGAAAAAGUUUAUGGUAAAGCCUAUUUCCUUUGUAUUUUUACUUCUUUGAGAGCCUGAGAGAGUUCACACUUUUAGUUAUCUUUAACACCCCUCAUGUUGCCUGAUAAGGCUACGAUCAACCUAUACUUAAUUAUAUUUUCGACACCUCAUUUCAUAAUACAUUCAAGUGUAUGAUAAUCUCAUCUGAAAGCUUAAGUCGAUAGAGAAAAUAUACUUUUAUUUACGUAAAAUUUUGUCUUCAACAUAUGUGAUUGAAACAUUUCUCAUGUGUCUAGGAGUUGGCAAGUUUUGUUUAUUUUUCAUAUAUAAGAAAACUAACAUGUAAAAUAAUUCACCAAAUGCUUCCUUUACACGUUUGUAUUUUUUGUUGGUUAAAAAAGUGAUUUUCUUUUAUAUUAAAAAAAAAAAGGAACAAAAGACAAAAAAGAUGAUAGAUUUUGCAAAGAUUAAUCCAGAAUAAAUUAUAUUAAUAAUAGCCCAUUAUUUGUGUAGUCACACUCAAUGUUGCAUUCAUGCAAGACAAGCCAAUCAAAUUUUUCCUAACCAAAUCAUGUUGUGAUUAGAAAAUUCUUUUAAAAAAAAUGGUUUAUCGAUAUCAUCCGUCAUAUUUUUUGAAAUAUUAAUAUUUCUGUCGUUUAAAAAUUAAAAUAUAUAUAUUACUUACUCAGCGAAAGAUUAAAUAAGAUCACAUGACACAAUUAUAUCAAUUCGAUAUUUAAUAAAUAACGAUCGACAAAUAAAAUUAUGAUACGUAUAUAUACGUUAUUCUUUAGAGUUUUUCAAAACAAUCUUUCUUUCGUAGUGAAAAAUUAUAUUUCGAGUCUCUAUAAUUUUAUCUUGAGCAUAAAUAAAAUUAUUUAACUCGAACAUCAAACAUGUUUUCUGAAAAUUUUAAAAGGCAUAAUGCAAACACCAAAUAUAUAUAUAUAUAUAUAUAUAUAUAUAUAUAUAUAUUAAAUGCUACGAAUUCAAUUAUAUAAUAUUUAUUUUGGGACAAAAACUGCAAGAUGGAAACAAGGCGGUGGGAUGUGGAGACAAGAAAAUUAUUGGUUGCAGAAAAUAGUCCCAUCACAUAAAUAUUUAAAAUAUAUAUAAUUCAUUUAAUAUAAAUAUUUAAAAUUAUUAAUUUAAUAUUAAACUACAAGAGUUGACAGGUCAUUAAUUUGUGGAAAAUUUGGUCUGUGUCCCUUGAUUAUCAUCAAACGCAAAUUUAAAACUCAGAUUCUUUUUUUUCUAUUAAUUAAAUUUCAAUUUCACCGCUAAAUGCCUAUUGUAUUAUCAAAUUAAAUUCAUCUUACGUUUUAUUAGAAGUAUAAAUAUAUUAAUAGCUAAAACAUAAUAUGUUAUUGAAAUAUCAAAAUCUUGAUAUAACUUAAUCCCAUAUAGAAUAUAGGAUAAGUUAUACAAGUUAUAAUUUUAAUUUAACCUCAAUAUGUUAAAUCAAACAAGAAUCUGAGUUUAAUUCAUCUGUUUCAAUUUAUUUGAUAUCUACUAUUAAAAUUUUUGAUAAAGAAUUUAGACACCAGAGCUUUAAGCUAUUCGAAAUAAAACUUGUAUAUCUAAAAUUUAUAUUUGAAAAUACUAUAAUUACAAUAAUUAACAAUUAAAAAUGUAUAUAAAAAACUUAGUUGACUGGUAAAAUACUAACUAUAUGACAAAACUAUGACAAUUAAUAAAAUUAUACUGAAUAUGUUGUCAUAUAAAUUGAGACGGAAAAAAUAUUUAAUUAUCGUCUUUAUAACACAUAUAUUGUAAAAGAAGAUGAUGAAAGAUUUGAGAAGAAACAUAGUACUAAUGCAAUUUUGAAUAAUUAAUAAUAUUCCCAUGAGAUUACUUGACCAUCAUAUAUAAUAUUUUAAUUUCCCAUUCCCAAUUUUGUUUCAUAAUGAUAAUAGACAAUUUUGUGAUCUAUCUAGUAAAAGAGAAAUUAAUUAGAUAGAUAAGCAAGAGAAAGAAAAUACUCAUCAUGAAUAUGGACGAUACAUCGACGAUGGGUCAAAUUCACCAUGCCUAUUUUGUUUAUUGUGACUAUUAUCAUGAUCAUCCUGGUUCGUCAUUCUGUUGCACCCUAUUUGUUGUGCAAUCGAAGUACCAGCGCCUAGAUUCAAAUACACCAUUCUCGAGUCUAGAUUGAGGUUAUUACCUCCCACAUUGGUCGUGUUGCUCGUGCUAGAACCAUGAUCUUCGUUGUUUAUAGGUUGGAAUAUCGCGGUGGAAGAUGGGACGUUGUUUGUAGUUUCUUCCUCUCGUGAAAUUACCAUAGCCGCGGAUUGAACUAACUCAAGACAUAGACGUAGUUUGUUUGGUUCGAUAUGAGUUAGACCAGGGAUCGCACCUUUGAAUAAGAAAUCGGAAGUUAGGGUUUGUAGAAUGUCGAGUGGAGUGAUCCCAUCCAUCGUUCUGACAUUUGGAUCUGCGUGGUGGUCUAGUAGGACUGCCACCAUGUCGGGUGACACCAUUUCCGAUGCAAUGUGGAGGGGGGUUUUGCCAGCUGGACCGGCCGGGUGGUUCACGUUGGCUGCACCGAGCUCGAGUAACGCUUUCACAACCUCCCGGCUACAAUUCUCGACCGCGUAGUGUAACGCGAUCGAUUCAUCGAGAUUUAGUCCUUCUCCCAUGACCAUAAGUUUGACCAAUUCCACGUCGGAUGAGUCUAGGGCUCGUCUCAUUCGUCGGAUCUUUUGGUCCUCGAGCUCCGAGGUCGAACUUAGGUCGUGCUGGUGAUGGUGAGAGAUCAAGGAUCUUCGCGCUAAUGAAGUUUUUAGGCGAAUUUCCUCGAUUUUCGCGACAACGUCGAUGGGAAGGUGUUUUGCUAGGAUUUCAGGUGGAAGGCCUGAUUUUGCAACCAAAUGAGAACAAGUAGUCCAAAGUUGAGGCAUGUCUUGUUUUCUUGAAGCAACUAAAACUUUCAUCACAUCCUCAAUUGAAGUUUUCUCUACCAUGCUUGUCAAUUGCUUCUGCGGAAUUAAACACAAUAACUAUGCUUCAGUCUCAAACAAGUCGAACAAAAUUAAAUGAAAAAACAAAGACUCACAAAUGUCCCUAAAUGUGAUUUAGUUUUUCAUAUACAUUGACAUAUUUAGAAAGUUUUAUCAUUCCAAUCAAAAAGACAAUUGAUAUAUGUUUUUUUUUUUUUGCAUAAUCUUGAUUAUAUAUAGGGUAACAUCAAAUAAAUCCAUUUUUUAAUAUUGGUUCAUGAAACCAAAUUAGGAAAGUGGAUUUGAUUGGGGAUAUAUAAAUCACUCUUGAAAGAUAUGACUCAAGAAACUCAAAAUCUUUAACAUGAAAUCAAGUGAAAUGACACAUCUAACAACAAGAAUUUCACUAAAUAUUGCUCGAACGCUUUAAAAACACGUUAGAAACCACAUGGUGUUCGACAAAUAUUUUCAAAGAGUCGGAACAAUCCGAUAAAGUUAAAUUAAACCUGAGUAAGCAAAGCAAGUUGUUCAACACCAAAAGAUCUAGCGGCUGAGAGUGUAUCAAGUGCAAGAUCAACGGCUGAUGUGCAAUGUGUAUGCCAACAGUUUCUUUCACCACAAUUAGGCCUUGGUUCAUGUUUUUGUGGCACAAUUGAAACUUGUCCACUAUACAAAAAUUGUAACAUCAACAAAAAAACCUCAUACCCUACCGAGUUCACAGGUAUUACUACCUGUGAACUACUGGUAGUACUAGUCCGCGGGCUUCCAAAGCCCACGGAAGGGUCUGGACCGCCACCAGGCGACUCAGGCCCGCAGAAGAAUUUUCUAAACACAAGACUUCUAGCAGCUAAGAUGCAUCUAUGAGCAUGUACUAAACGACCUUCAACACUAAAAGUAACAUCACUAAAAGCUUGACCGUUGAUGAGAAGAUUUAGAUAAUCUAAAGAGAGAGUUUUUAAGGAAUCUUCAAGAGUAUUCAUAUUGUUUAUAAAUUGUAAAGAUGAGAAAAAAAAAAUUUUGGUGGAUUUUAAUUCACAUAGUGGAAGAUGAUUUUGUGUUAGUUGUUUUUUUUUUUUCCUAGUAUAAGAUGAUGAAAGAAGUAGACUUAUUAUUAUUGUUAUUUUUUGUGAGAUUCUCUCUUUUAGUGAUGGAGUUUCUAUUUUGCUAUGAGGAUAGAUUUUUAUUUUUUUUUGUGAGAGGAUGGGUGGGUGGGUGGCUAUUAUGGACGGCUGAGGUAUUUAAAAAAAAUAUAUAAAAAUAGUUUUUUUAAAUUUAUUUAUUUACUCUACCUAUUUUUAAAAUAUGUCAAGACUUUACGUUAUAACUCAUCAUUAUAAUUUUUAAGUUUGGAUGUGCCUAAGUUAGUAGUCCUUUUUAUCAAUUUCUGACUGUAAUAGAUUUUCGAAAUAUGUUAAGAAUUUACGCUUUGAUAUACCUUCAUAAUUCUUUUCUAGGUGUGGACAUGCCUAAGAUAUAAAUCGUUUUCACUUUCUGAUUAUAGUAGAGUGUUAUAUAGAAUGUACAUUAUAUAUCAUUGACUCUUAGUACUGAUUUUGAUUUCACUACUAUCAUAAUAAUGUAUUGAUUAAAAUUUAAGUGAAAAUUAACUAAAUACUCCUUAAUUGAAACAAUAAUAUAUGAUAUAAAUUUAAAUUAAUCGGUUCAAUAAAUUGAUGUAUGAGGGUAGGAUAGGGAGAUGGUCAAUUUAUGCCUAAUUAAACAUGCAGAUCUUUCUUGGGAAGGUAUUUAAUUUAGUGAUCUUGUGAAUUAAAGGUUCUUGGAAAAUGUAGUAUAAUUUAAUUAAAUUUGCUCACUGUUAGCCUAUCUAGCUACCAAGUUUUUCUUUCAUUAAUUAAUGUGAAUAGGUGCUAUAAGCCUAUAAUUGUAUGUGUAACUUUUAUUUAUUUUUUUCCUUUUGUCUACUUGUAAAUUGUUCGUAGAUUCGUCGUGAUUUAAUUGGAUGAACGAUGAGUUUAUUUGAAUUUCAUAUUUUUAACAUAAAAAUAUAAAUUUAUGUUAAAAAGUUAAAUAGUAUUAUAUAUGUUUGAGUUAAAUUUGAAUCUAUAAAUUUAUAACGGUAUAUUUUUUAAGUUAUUUUCUUCUAUUAAUUCAAAUACGUCUAGUAAAUUUGAAUAUUUUUUAAUAAAAUAAUAAAAUAGUUAUGUACUUAUUAUUAUUUUUUUUAAUCUAUGAUAUUACUUACUAUAUAUUUUUUUUAUGUUAGAUGCAAAUCAUAAAUAUGAAUUAACCAAUCUUAAUAACCUAAAAUGAAAAAAAUAUUACUUAUUAUAUUGUACCUUUGUUCACACCCUUAAAAAAUAAGUAGUAACUCAUAAAAUAAUGAAACUUUAAGUGCUUAAAUAUUGUUUAUAUAUAUAUAUAUUAAUACUACACAUAUACUUUUAUUUAAUAACCCCUAUAUUAUAGUAGCAUAGGAUACGUUGGCACUUCCUCUAAAUCCAACCUCAUGAUUAGACAAAGAAGCAAAAUCAGAAUUUUUAUUUUAUAAAUUUUUUAAAUUUUUUAAAAAAUAAAAAUUUUUGAUUGCCAUUUGUAUAUAUUUAAUCGUUAGCAAAACAUGUUUUAUAAUCAAAUUUCAUUUAUUAAAAAAAAUUUUAAUCGUUAACAAAAUCUGUUUUAUAAUCAAAUUUCAUUUAAUGAAAAAAAAAUUAAGAUCGAUCAAUUCAUAUUCAUGAUUUGCAUUUACUAUAAAACCUUCUUUUUUAUCUAAUGUUUGAUAUUUAUAUUAAAGUUCGUCUAACUUUAAAUUUUUAUAUAAAAUUUUCUCAUUAAAACAUAAGAUACUUUCUAAAUAAGAAGAGAAAAUUUUAAUUUAAAAUUUCGAAAAAGAUAAAAAAAAAUAAAAAAUAUACCCAUGGUAUAAUUUGUUUAGGGCAAUGAAUUAGAGAGAAAAUAAAAGAGAUAAAAACAAAAGGGAAGAAAUAGAAGGGCAGUGAUUGACAAUAUAUCACAUACUGUCUAAUGAUUUGACAUCCUCCGAUUUGACGUUUCAAUUGUCAUUUCAUCACACAUCCCAACCUUUCUCCGAAAUGGCGGAACUAGAAAUUUUACUAAUCGGAAUUUAGAAAUAUAUAUUUUCAAAACAUUAUUCUAGUUCAUAGAUCAAUAUAAUAUUUUAUAGGAAAAAUGUCAAGUAUCCCUUAAUUUAUAUUCCAAAUUUUAGAGACACGUUAUAUUAUACUAAAGUUUUAUUACCACUCUGAAUUUAUUUUAUAAGUAAUUUUCUAUCCCUUUUUUAUCUACGUGACACUAAUCUGGAAAAAAAAAUCAAGAGAAGGUUGGGCCAUAAGAUAGUGUCUGGUUGGCCAAAAAAGGAUAGGAAAUUAUUAAUAAAAUAAAUUCAGGGGUAAUAUGACCUUAGUAUAAUAUAAGAGUGUCUCUGAAAUUUCGGCAUAGGUUAAGGGGGUACUCGUGCAUUAUCCCUAAUUUUUAUAUAAACAAUAAUAUAAUUUUUUAAUGAAAUCGAAUAUAGUUAUGCCACUACUCCUAACUCCCCCACACCCUCGUAUAAGAAUCAGAAACUUUAAAUUCUAAAUCGUAUCUACUUCAAAGUGAGAAUUUUUAAAGAAAAAUUAAAUUUACUCGAGCUCCAACAAAUAUUAAAUACCGAAUUAAAAAAAUAUCACGAAUAUAUAUAUUAUACAUGUAUAGAGUCUCUUUCAUUAGGUUUAUUUCUCUAGCUAUUCUUUUUCCUUCAACUCAGGCUUUUAUUUUAGCUAUCUUUAUCCCAAAAAAGUAAGGUCAAAUGGGGAAAAAAAAUUAAAAAUUAAUAGUUUAAUUUAUUAAUUAGCUAUAUAAUUAACGAAAUUUCAAUUUCUCCAUCUUAUCUCUUAUCCAACAAUAAAAGAAUAAACUUUUAUUAAAGGUUAUAAUUGUACAAAUGAUAACGUUAUAUAAAAGAUAAAAUUAAGAAAUUAAUUUUAAAUAGUUUUAUCAGAUGAAGAAGCAUAUUAUAUAUGAUUUCGCUUCACAUAAUGUGUGUGUUAUUAUAUUUUUUCAUAAAUAUACUGAAAAGAAAAAUAUAUCGAAUUAAAUGAGAGACUAAUUAAGAUAUAAUAAAAUUAAUAUUUGAUUCUCAACCUUUAGAAUUUGGAGAAGACAUAUUGUAUUUCCUAAUUAGAAAGGUCGGCCAAUUUUGACACUACAGAGUAUAGACCAAAAAUCUGACAAAUUAAAUUAGGGUUUGACAAAAAAAAAUAUCAUCAACUACCCCUUCAUAUUAAAAAUUUUAAAAUAAUUUUAUCUUAAAUUUUAAUAAUUUCUUUGGUUUAAUUAAAAUAUCUUUUUUUUUUAGUUCAUCUUAAAAGUUUGUUAGAAAAAUUAUAUUACGAGUAUAAGAUAAUCUUGUGUGUAUAUAUAUAUAUAUAUCAAAACAACUUUUUAGAGGCAUAUGACAUUUUUUAAAAUAUUUUUAGUGAAAUUGAGACGUUACUCACUAUGCAAAUAGUAUAUGAUGUAUUUUUUUCUUUAUCACUAUGCAUAAUUAAUUUGAUAUAUAUUAAAUUCAAGUUAAUUGUAUCCAAUUAUUUCUUUUUCAUUGUAUGUGUCACAAAUUCUAGCUGAGGUCGAUCAAGUAAGUAAUAAAAGAUACAAGUGUCCAACCUGGGUCGUGACUUGUGAUGUAAUGGUGAGACUGCUCUAUUCUUGAUCAGAGUUUUUGAGUUUGAAUUUUUGAAUAUAGUAAAAAUUUUAUUAGAAACACAAUUUCUAAAUUAGCCUUUAAUUGAUGCGUUGUCUGAAUUUAUUCAGAGCUCCGAUAAAGACUUUAAAUAUCAAGUAAAUUUUUACAUUUUUUUUUAAGAAAAAUGACAAGCGGUAAAACAAGUGGGACAGGAAUCAAUUAAUUUUUAUAUUAAAGUUAUUAUCAUCUUCAACUAUUUAAAAAAAAAGUCACAAGUAUUUUUUUGGAUUCAUCUUUGACUCCAACAAAAUUUCCUAAUGGGGAAAAAAAAAUUGGUAAAAAUAUUUACUGUUAUUUUCAUGAUUUUUUACCAUAUGACAUUUGAAGAAUAUAAUGAUUACGACUUCAAAAUAAUGAUUCCAAAGCUUCGUAAAAUUGAUUUUAAUUCUAGUGUUUUAAAUUUCCAACUAGGGAAAGGAAGGAGUUAAUUAGCUAGUAAGUAAUUUUAUACAAUUUAUAUUGGCUUUGUGAGUAAUUAUAUGAUAAAAAACAUUCUUUAGAUUCCAUAAUGAGAAAUAAGUCUUUAAGAGAGAUGUAAAAAUUAUGGGAAAAUGCACGAGUACUCCUCGAUCUAUGUCUGAAAUUUUAGAGGCACACUUAUAUUAUAAUGAGGUUCUAUUAUCCUCCUGAAUUUAUUUUAUAAGUAAUUUUUUAUCCUUUUCGACUUACGUGACACUAUUUUGAAAAAAAAUCAAUCAGCGUUGAACCACAAGAUAGGGCCACGUAGGCCGAAAAGGAAAAAGUUAUAAGUAAAAUAAGUUCAGGGAGGUAAUAUGACCUUGAUAUAACAUAAGUGUGUCUUUAAGAUUUCGACAUAGAUUGAGAGGGUACUUGUACAUUAUCCCAAAAAUUAAAGAUAAGGGGAGAUAAUAAAGAAAUUUAAAGUGAGUCACUGAUUAAAGAUAAAUAUUUAUAAAAUUAUUAAAAUUUAACUUACAAUAAAAGGUUAAACGUUGUUGAGAGUAUGAACAUUUAAUUUUAUUGAUAUUUGAAAAGAUUGCGAAACAUAUAAAGAGUGUAAAAAUAUACUUAUAUUAUGUUAAAACUUUUUGGGAGUAAUAGGUUUCCACUCAAACGAACAAUAUCAUAUGAUCAUUGUUAAGGGUGUUUUUCUCUUAACUUAUCGUAUCAAAUCAAGUAAUUUAACGAGAUAAAUAUGAAGACAAUGAUAACAAAGUGUUAGGGCUCGAAUCUAUUAGUUGUCUUUACCAUGCCAACAAGAUGAAGCAGCUAGCUCUGGGCUUCCAUGCCGACCACAAAUGCUUAGUCAAGUGAGUGAUAUAGAGUGAAACUCAUAAAUGGACUCGUAAAUCGUGAUAAUAAGUCACUGAAAUUAAGUUCGCAGAGAAGAUUCUUAAAUCAUAACAAUGAGCCACGUGAAACCUAGUUUGAUCAAAACUUUUAAACAUUCAAAUAAAAUCUCGCAUUGAUAAUUUAAAUAAUAAACUAUAUACCUCUUAGAGAAUAUAAUAUGAAUUAGACUCGUAUCGAACAAUAUCACAUCACAAUUUAUCUACAUAAGCUAACAACUAUCCAUUUCAAGAAAAGGCCACCAAAUUGCUUUAUGACCUUAUUUGUUGAUCAUACUUACUUUUGAGGGAACAUAACCCAUAGGAGUAUGUUUUGUUAAAGCAAAAGCCAUCCAAUUAAAAAAUCCACUUUCUUAUUAACCCCUUUGACUUCUUUUUUUUUAGACAAACUUUUAAUCAUAACCAAGUCCAUAAUACUUCAAUUUUUUUGAGUGGCAUUAAGAUGAUGACCUCCAAAUUCCCAUCUUUCAACUUAAGUGGAACUAAUGUAAUAAUCCAAAUUAAAAAAAAAAAUACUUAAUCUAGAACAUUAUAGACGCCUCUUAAAUAUAAUGACAAAUUCAAAAUUACGAGCAAUAUAUAAACUUCAAAUUCUGAUUUCACUUCACACGCUUUGAGCGGAACAUGCAUGGGGUAGGUCUAUGAUAUGAUAUGUGGUUUGUGACUAACAUCACAUGGAACCAAAUGAUGAAAAUGUAUCAUAGUAUUUACAUUUUUGUUUAGACAGAAUAUUUUGGGACUUCAAAAAUGAAGAAUAGUAUAGUGACAAAUAGGAAAAGUUUUCUACUACUUUUAUGACUAGUCUUUUUUGUCUUUCUGCACACUCACUAGAAGUAUCAUCCAAAAAUUGCAUUAUGAUUGCAUGUGGACCAAAAAAAAAAUAAUUAAAAUAUCUCAAACUUAGUGUAAAUUAACUAUUGGUCAUUACUCAUUACCCAAUAAAAUAAGUCAUUUGUGUUGUUGAAGACACAAUUCAUUAAAGAAAAGAAUUUGAAAGAGAGAAAUUAUCAAGUGGAGUUCACAGUGUAAAUCUAAAAUAUAGACAAGUAAUUUAAUUGAACUUGAUUUCUCAAUUUAAAAGGAGAAACCAUCUAACAAAAAUAUUCCUAUAUUCUUGUUCAUACACCUAAAUAUUUGAAAUAUGAAAAUAAAGGUGUCUAGAUCGAAUUCAUCAGGUCAUGGUAACUUAUAUAUAUAUAUAAGGUAAGUCGUAACAUCCUUUUAUAAGAAAAUUAAGAUGUUUGGUUCGAUCAGUAGUCACUAAGCAAUACACCACUUGUGUUUAGAUCAAGCUAAACUCGGUGACACUCUCAUCUACUAACACCAUAACUCAAACUCAUUCUAAUUACUAAAUUCAUUAGUGCUAGAUCUCAGAGUUACGUGUUUUGAUCAUCUGAAUUAACAUGUUUUUGAACCACGUUUGUAAAUUUAACUAUAGCGUUUUAAAUCUUGAAUUCACCGCAUUAGAACUCAAUAAAUCAUAAGAUCCAAAAAAGGGUCAGCCCAAGCUAUUGCAUGAAACAUUAUUAGGUGGUCACUUCUUAUUAAGAUACCAACUUUGAUGUGACAAGACAAUGCAAAUGUGACAAUUGCUAAUGACAAUGUAAGUGUAUCUUCUUCUUUCUUUUUGACAAUGGAUAUCACACAUAUAUACAAUGAACUACUCCAUCUUUCCAUCAGUCUCUAUUUUUUACUUCCCUAAAACUCAGUUUUCAGAUCACUAAUUUGUUUGCAAGAUUUUUUUUUAACUCCAGUCAUGGUGUAGGUAAAGAGGUGCAAUGUGGAACUAACUUCAAUGUUUCACUCACCUUACUUUAAUGAUAAGAUUAAUUUAAAUUUGUGUCCGUAAUAUGAAAUAUUUUAGAGACAUACAUGUAAAUUAGAUUUUAAAUUUAACUCAAAAGAGUCGAAUUGAUCAACGAUUAAUUUAAAUGUGUCUGUACUAUGAAAUAUUUUAGAGUCAUACAUGUAAAUUAGGUAUUAGAUUUAACUCAAAAGAGUCGAAUUGACCAAGUUGAUCGCAAUGAAAUUCAUUAUCUCUUUCACGCUCAGAUUUAAACAUUCUUUAUUUAGGAUUUGACUAUGUAUGUCUUUUCAUGGACCGAGGUAGUUUCAACCCCACUUAAAGUAAAACAUACACAAAUUAGGUAUUUGACAUAACUCACACACCAAAAACUAUUUUUCUAAUAGUAUAGAUAUUUUAUAUUGCAUGGAUCUAAGCAAAAAAAUAAGACGCAAAACUUAUACGUCGUUAUUGCUCAUGUGCUAUCUAAUGAAUUCAUUGCACUACACUCGUUGAUGAUUAUAAAUGUUGAUUCUGUUAGGUUAUUAGCAUUUUAAUAUUAAUAUUUAACAUAUUAAAUUGCUUUAUUUUGGAGUUAUAAGAAUGGAUGACUUCUACAUCAUCCAUUAGCAUUGGUUAUCCAUCAAUGUAUUUCAUUCUUAAUUCCUCCAUUACUCCCUUUGUAACCUAUGUAACAUAUGUAACUCCCUUUGUAACAUAUGUAACAUAUGUAACUCCCAUUAUAACUUAUGUAACCUAUGUAACUCCCAUUGUAACCUAUGUAACUCCUAAGGCCAUUAUCUUCACUAUUUACUACCUCCAUUAUCUUCCUAUUCAUUGCUAGGAAGACUUCUUGUAGUAUAAAUAGUGGUAGUCUUCAUUUGGUUUUAGACACACACAAUUCAUAAGAGAGAACAAAGAGUGAAAGAGUUAGUCUAAAGAGAGUUCUUAUUAGUUGAAGGGAGGUGUUCUUUUUUUUUUUGUGGAGCUUUGGACUCAACUCUUGUCCAGAGUUGUUGAGUUAUACUUUGUGAAGGCUGUUGUAUCCUGGAGGGGACAAGUCAAAGAGGACUACUGCUGGACCGGUGAAAACAUUUGCUGCAGUGGGCUUGAAUCUCCUUAAAGAGAGCGAGAUAUCCGCGCCUCAGCCUGAAGAGAUUACUUUCUUCAUUUUGUUUUCAAUUGUAAUCUUGCAAUUUUAUUAUCUUGUAAGUUUUUUCACUAACAAUUUUAAGGAGAUUCAACAUGGCUACAAUUGAAAAAACCGCGGAUAUCAAGAUGGGAGAUCUUAACAAGUCAUUUUGGUUCAAUGGUAACCAUUUCAAAAGAUGGAAGGGUAAAGUACUUUUCUAUUUAAGUCUUCUCAAUGUUUCUUAUGUAUUAACGGAGAAGAAUCCAAAUAAAGAAGACAUCACCACUAUGAAUGAUGAUGAAACUAUUUCUCAUCUAGAGAAAGUGGAAAAGUACGAUGGUGAUUCCUAUAAGUGUCGGUAUAAUCUUCUUAAUUGUCUAUCUGAUAAUUUUUAUGAUUAUUAUGAUAGAACUUACUCUAGUGCAAAGAAAAUUUGGAAGGCAUUGCAGAGUAAAUAUGAUACCGAAGAGGCUGGAGCGAAAAAAUAUGCAGCUAGUAGAUUUUUUCGUUUCCAAAUGGUGGACAACAAAUCAGUGGUAGAUCAAGCUCAAGACUUCAUCAUGAUUGUCGGAGAGCUUAGGUCCGAAGAGGUUAAAAUUGGAGAUAACCUUAUUGUUUGUGGCAUAGUGGAUAAACUUCCACCUUCUUGGAAGGAAUUUCAAAAAACUAUGCGCCACAAACAAAAGGAAACCUCUCUUGAAAGCUUGAUAAUGAAAAUCCGCAUGGAAGAAGAAGCAAGAGGCCAAGAUGCACUUUUACAAACAGAAGAGAACAACAUCACAUCGAAGGUAAAUUUAAUUACUUCGAAUAAUGCUACUCCUGAAACUCACAAAAAUACUUCUUUAAAGCCUAAGAAGAAAAAAUUCAAGAAAAAUAAUGGUAGACCUCCCAAAAAAAAAUAAUGGUGAAAAUCACCAAGCACAAAAUCAACAAGUUCAAGAAAAGGGACCAUGCUUUGUUUGUGGCAAGAGUGGGCAUAAUGCUCGAUUUUGCAGAUUCCGGAAACGUGGUCCUAACCCUCAGGCAAACGUUACCGAAGAACCUUUUGUGGGGGUGAUUACCGACAUAAACAUGGUUGAGAAUGUUGAUGGAUGGUGGGCUGAUUCUGGUGCAAACCGUCAUGUCUGUUAUGACAAAGACUGGUUUAAAAAAUAUACUCAUUUUGAGGAACCCAAAACUAUCAUGCUUAGUGAUGCUCACACUACUCAAGUGCUUGGAAAGGGAGAUGUUGAAUUGUGUUUUACUUCUGGAAGGAUAUUAACAUUGAAAGAUGUACUUUAUACUCCUUCUAUGAGAAAAAAUUUGAUGUCUAGUUUUCUUCUUAAUAAAGCAGGCUUUAAACAAAUUAUUGAAUCUGAUCAAUAUGUAAUAGUGAAGAAAGGUAUUUUUGUGGGGAAGGGGUAUGCAUGUGAUGGGAUGUUUAAGUUGAAUGUUGAAAUGAAUAAAACUUCUACUUCUGUUUAUAUGUUUUCUUCUACUAAUUUUUGGCAUGCUCGUUUGUGUCAUAUUAAUGAUCGUUAUGUUGGAAUCAUGAGUAGUUUAGGAUUAAUCCCAAUGGUUAAAAAGAAUUUUGAAAAGUGUGAGACUUGUAGUAAAGCCAAGAUCACUAAAAGGCCUCAUUUUCAAGUUGAAAGAAAAACUGAUUUGUUAGAAUUAGUUCAUACUGAUAUUUGUGAACUUGGUGGAAUUCUAAAUCGUGGAGGUAAUAGAUAUUUUAUCACUUUCAUUGAUGAUUUUUCUAAGUUUACAUGUGUUUACUUGAUGAAAAAUAAAAGUGAUGCUUUUGAAAAUUUCAAAACUUAUCUCAAUGAGGUUGAAAAUCAGUUUGGAAGAAAAAUAAAAAAAAUUAGAAGUGAUAGAGGCCGUGAAUAUGAAUCAAAUGAGUUUAAUUCUUUUGUUCGAUCAUUGGGAAUAAUUCAUGAAACUACUCCUCCUUACUCUCCUUCGUCUAAUGGAGUAGCAGAAAGGAAAAAUAGAACUUUAGUUGAAUUGACUAAUGCCAUGCUAAUUGAGUCACAUGCACCUUUAAAUUUUUGGGGUGAAGCUAUCUUAAUUGCUUGUUAUGUGUUGAAUCGUGUGCCUCAUAAAAAAUCUAAAUUGACACCUUUUGAAUUGUGGAAAGGUUACAAGCCAAGUUUGGGAUAUCUAAGAGUUUGGGGUUGUCUAGCCUUUGUGAGGCUAAUGGAUCCCAAGAUUACAAAGUUGGGUAAGAAAGUUACUACUUGUGCUUUUCUUGGUUAUGCUUCAAAUAGUACAACCUAUAGAUUUUUUAAUCUUGAAGAUAAUAUUGUAGUAGAAUCUGGUGAUGCUAUUUUUCAUGAAAAUAAAUUUCCUUUUGAUACUAAAAAUAGUGGGGGUCAAAGGAUUGAACAAAAUAUUUUGUCACUACCUAGUUCUUCUACUUCAACUUUAAAAAAUAAAGAUGUUGUUGAUUUUGAGUUAAGAAGAAGUAAAAGAGCUAGAGUAGAAAAAGAUUUUGGUCCUGAUUUUUAUGUGUUUAAUGCUGAAAACGACCCUCUAACUUUGAAAGAAGCAUUAUCUUCACAUGAUUCUAUUUUUUGGAAAGAGACUGUAAAUGAUGAAAUGGAAUCUCUAAUUUCUAAUAAAACUUGGAAGUUAGUUGAUUUACCACCGGGUUGUAAAACAAUUGGUUGCAAAUGGGUCUUUAGGAAAAAUUUGAAACCGGAUGGUUCUAUUGACAAAUACAAGGCUAGGUUAGUUGCAAAAGGUUUUAAACAACUAGAAGGCCUAGAAUUUUUUGAUACUUUUUCUCUGGUAACGAGAAUUACAUCCAUUAGACUUUUAGUUGCUAUGGCUGCAAUUUUUGAUUUGCAAAUUCAUCAAAUGGAUGUAAAAACUGCUUUUCUAAAUGGAGACCUAAAUGAAGAAAUUUAUAUGGACCAACCCGAGUGUUUUGUUGAAGCAGGCCAAGAAAGCAAAGUAUGUAAACUUACUAAAUCCCUAUAUGGCUUAAAACAGGCACCAAAGCAAUGGCAUGAAAAGUUUGAUUCCUGCAUGAUUGAAAAUGGUUUUAAGACAAAUGAGUGUGAUAAGUGCAUAUAUCAUAAGUCUUGGAAUAAUUCACAUGUGAUCAUUUGCCUAUAUGUUGAUUACUUGUUGAUCUUUGGCUCUAACAUGAAUGUUAUUGAUGAAGCUAAAAAUGUUCUUAGAAGCCAUUUUGAUAUGAAAGAUCUUGGUGAGGCAAAUUUUAUUCUUGGAAUAAAAAUAACAAGAACAUGUGAGGGGAUUUUCCUUGACCAGUCACAUUAUGUUGAGAAAAUUUUGAAAAAAUAUAACUUUCAUGAUUGCAAGCAUGUUGCUACUCCUUUUGAUUCAAGCGUUCACUUAUUUCCUGUUGAAAGUGAAAAUGAUGUAAUAAAUCAAAAGGAAUAUGCUAGUAUAAUCGGAAGAUUGAGAUAUGUGACUGAUUGCACUAGGCCUGAUAUUGCAAAUGCAGUAGGAGUACUUGGCAGGUUUACAAGCAAGCCAGGUAAUGAACAUUGGCAUGCUAUAACAAGAGUUAUGAGAUAUUUAAUUGGAACGAAAAAUUGUGGUUUGUUCUAUAAAAAAUAUCCUGCUGUACUUGAAGGCUUUUGUGAUGCGGAUUGGAACACUUUGUCAGGUGAUUCCUGUUCUACAACUGGUUAUGUCUUUACUUUAGGUGGUGGUGCUUUUUGUUGGAGAUCAAAAAAGCAAACUAUAAUUGCCAACUCUACCAUGGAGGCUGAACUAAUUGCUUUAGCUUCAGCUAGUGAGGAAGCAAAUUGGUUAAGAGAUUUAUUGUUUCAAAUUCCUUAUUUUGAAAAAUCAAUUCCUCCUAUUUUAAUUCAUUGUGAUAGCACCGCUGCAAUUGGUAGAGUUCAAAACCGUUAUUACAACGGUAAAUCCAGACCUAUAAGGAGGAAACACAGUAAUGUAAGAUCGUAUUUGACAAAUGGUACCAUUAAUGUUGAUUAUGUCAAAUCUUGUGAUAAUCUUACAGAUCCUCUUACAAAGGCCUUAACAAGAGAAAAGGUUUGGAGCACAUCGAGGGGGAUGGGAUUGAAGCCUACAAAUUCUUGAGUCAUAUAUGAGGAAACCCAACCUGGGGACUAGAGAUCCUAUAACCAGGUUCAAAGGGAAAAACUAAUCAUAUGAUGACUUGUUGUGAAAAAUGCACUAUUUUUUUCCCUCCCUAUGAUGUGAGUGCAUUAUUUCCUGUAGUUUGUGAAGGUUGAGUUGAUAAAACUCUUAAUGAAUAUCUGUAGCCCGUAUGGGUGGAGUGUUAAUCUUACAGGAGCACUCUCGACAGAUUUCACCUAUGUGAUGUGUGGAAGUAGGUCGCUUCCUAUGAGAAUGGGGCUUAUUCUCAAAUGCACUCAUGAAACCGGGAUAGCACAUGGCCAUAACGUGCUGGCUGUUAAAGCUCAUGUCAACACCUUGGUUAUUAUGUGUGAGCAGUGAUAUUUUAUUUCCCUUAAGCAGUCAUAGUUCAAGUCUGAGACUACUACGACUCUGGAGUAAAAGUUACUGUUUCACUAAGUGGAGGUUCAAUGCAGAGUACACCUUCAUUAUGCAUAGUAGUCUUCCUUCAGCUGAUAUACUCUCUUAUCUAAAUAUUAAAAUGAGUGGGGGAUUGUUAGGUUAUUAGCAUUUUAAUAUUAAUAUUUAACAUAUUAAAUUGCUUUAUUUUGGAGUUAUAAGAAUGGAUGACUUCUACAUCAUCCAUUAGCAUUGGUUAUCCAUCAAUGUAUUUCAUUCUUAAUUCCUCCAUUACUCCCUUUGUAACCUAUGUAACAUAUGUAACUCCCUUUGUAACAUAUGUAACAUAUGUAACUCCCAUUAUAACUUAUGUAACCUAUGUAACUCCCAUUGUAACCUAUGUAACUCCUAAGGCCAUUAUCUUCACUAUUUACUACCUCCAUUAUCUUCCUAUUCAUUGCUAGGAAGACUUCUUGUAGUAUAAAUAGUGGUAGUCUUCAUUUGGUUUUAGACACACACAAUUCAUAAGAGAGAACAAAGAGUGAAAGAGUUAGUCUAAAGAGAGUUCUUAUUAGUUGAAGGGAGGUGUUCUUUUUUUUUUUUGUGGAGCUUUGGACUCAACUCUUGUCCAGAGUUGUUGAGUUAUACUUUGUGAAGGCUGUUGUAUCCUGGAGGGGACAAGUCAAAGAGGACUACUGCUGGACCGGUGAAAACAUUUGCUGCAGUGGGCUUGAAUCUCCUUAAAGAGAGCGAGAUAUCCGCGCCUCAGCCUGAAGAGAUUACUUUCUUCAUUUUGUUUUCAAUUGUAAUCUUGCAAUUUUAUUAUCUUGUAAGUUUUUUCACUAACAGAUUCAAAGAUCAAAAUGUUAAUUUUUAUGAGAGUAAUUAAUUUUCACUAUGGAUUCAAUAAUUUAAGAACAACUUUUUUCUUUUUAAAUAAAAUCAGAAAUAUAUUUUUUUAAAUAACAAUUAUUAAUUAAAUGACCAUACGAGAAAUUACCGGAACUUAUUUUGGCUUUUGAUCGAAAAGAACUGAUUCGUUAUGAUUUCAUAUUUAGCGUCUCUUUCAAUCUGUCUUUUUUUAAAAAAAUAAAAAUUCUUUUUGCCUCUCUUUAAAGCAGCUUUAGCUAACUGAACUUAUAGUUUCAUUAUACUAUUCUUCUAUUUCUCUAUUCUUUAUUGACCACCUUUUUCUUUUCUCUUUUUAAAUUUUUUAUCGAUUUUGAUAUUUAUUUUAAAAUUGCAUAGAAUCCAUUUGAAAAGGCGCAUUUUUAUUAAUUUUUUUUUCAAUUUCAAAUUCAAACUCAAGACAUCUGAUUAAAGUAAAAACAAUUUAAUAUGCGUCGUAUAUCUUGAGCGGUUAUUCACCACUUUCCAUUCACUCACAAAUAAAUAAUUUAUUUGAAUAAUCAGUCUAAUGGUAUAAUUACCAAAAGUGAAUUUUGACUUUUUUUUAAUUAGGGGAAAAUAUUUCAUGGGAAAAUGCUUAUCUAAUAUGUUAGUUAUAUAUAUAUAUAUAUAUAUAUAUAUAUAUAUAUAUAUAUAUAUAAAAUAAAAGUCAUAUAGAUAAAUAAGUUAUAAUCUAGUGAAUAAUUUAAUGUAAAUAUCGAAAACUGCUUAUAAAAUUUUUAGAUUAAAAAAAGAAAGAAGAGGGGAAUGUGUGUUUAUACUUUCAUGAAAACGUUCGUGUCUCAUUGUAUUCAUAUAUGAGAUACGAGAUAUGUAUAAACAAAGUUGGCUAUUCUAUAUCUACGAAAAUUUGUAAUUUACUUAUAUACGAAUCUUUUCAUACACUAAUAAGAGAUACAACUAGACGAUAAUCGACUAGAAUAUACGUAUAUGGUGAAAAUCAAUAAGCUAAACAAAAUAGUCAAAAAGUUUGUAGGAUUUGUAGGUGCAGCACUACUUAUUACCAUGGGACAAAGACAUAAUUGUAGUAAGUUUUGAAGAAGACUAAUUUUUGAGCAAUAAAUGUAUAAGAUAACUGCUACUUUUCAUCGAUACAAAUAAAAAGAACUCACUCAGUAAUAUUAUCUAUACUUCAAUGUAAAUAUAAUAUCGAUCUCAUGAUUGUCGAUUUGUUCCAUUCAUCACUAUGUCAUACCUUUGGAUGAUUCAAGAUCUUGUCACGGUACUACCUUUAAUACUCCCUCAAUUUCAAUUUGUGGCACUUAAUCUUAUUGGACACGAAAUUUUAUGGGGGAAAUGUGCUCUUUAUUAAUACGUUACGAGAUUUCUUUGACUUCGAAAAUAUCUGAUUAAAGAUAAAAUAUAAAAUUUUAAAUAAAUUUACUUUCAAAUAUUUACAUAAACGUGUCAUUCUUUCUUAGAUUCAACUAAUAAGGAAUUUUGUAACACCUAAAACAAAAUGAACUUCUAAGUAUUUCCUUCAUUAUAUUUUAUGCUAAGAUAUUUCAUUGAAAAUAAAAUUUACUUGUAAAAAAUGAAAUCUCUUUAAAAUUUUAUAGUUUAGAAUAAAUUUUUCAUAUUUGUAUGACAAUUAAUCAUUUAAUUAAGGAAUUAUUCCGAAAAAAGGAAUUUUAAAAGCUGAAAACAAUUUAUAUGGGCCGGGAGAAAACUCUCAUUGUGAUGAAGAAAGGCCCAAUGGUUUUAUGUGUGAUAUAUUUGGGCCUUUAAAUAACUGGACUUUAUCUUAAGGAAAAACUACGUAUCUAUCGAUACUUAACUAUCACAUAUACAUAUUUUAUUUCUACUAUAUCGUAUUUAUAAAAAAUUAAAUCAAAUACACAAUCCCUUUAAAUAUGAUAAUGAAUAGUUAUCUUAAAAUUACUUCUCCUCAAUUAGUUGGACACUAUCAAUUCAAAUUAAUUUUGUUUUAUUCUUUUCAGUUGUUUCCCUUCCCAAUCCCAAAAUAGAUACCUCACGUAUCCCACCAUUACCCCUUUUUUCUUCUUCUUCAUUCAACGUUUCCUUCCCCUAUUACAAAAAAAAUUGUAUCUCAUUCUCACUCCCACACGUAUCCCUUAUUUCUUAACCAUUUUUAUUUCCUUUUGCAUGUGCUGAAUUCAUAUCAAACUCUACGUAAUUAGCAUUAGUUAAAGUGACAAAGUAAGAUUAUCUUUAGUUUUUUCUAUUGUAUAUUUGUUUUCAGUCGUAUCAUGUAUUUGAUUCGAUGGUUUUGAUUUUUUGUAGCCAAUUUAUUGUUAGGUUUUUAUAUUGUUUGCUCCAUUUUAAUGACUCAUAAUUUAGAAAAUAGUAUGAAUAUUGUUAUGUAUCCGAGACACAUGCUUUUGAAUAUAAUGUAUGAAAUUGAUACUUGAUACGUCGAAUUAAUAAUAGAUACAUGAAAUUAAUAUUGUCAUAUAAAUAGAUACAUAAAAUUAAUACUAGACACAUAUAAUAAAUACACAAAAUUAAUAUUAGAUAAUUUUAUGGUACAUAUGAAUCUACUUGUAUGAUACAUAUCCAAGUGUUUUGUUUGUUGGAUACAUCAUACAUUGACAAUAGAUACAUCAAAUUAAUGAAUUUUAUUAUUUUAAGAGUAAUAAAAUGAAAUUAAUCAAAUUGCAUGACCAAGAUAUACAUAUUUUUGUCUUUUAUAAAUGAUGUUAACGAAUUUAUUAUUUCAAAUAGUAAUUGAAUGAAAUUAAUUAAAAUAGAUACUCCUUGAUUCAAACCAAUGUAUCCUAAGUAUGGAAUAUGGUAGAGGAAGUAAUAUUUAAAACUAUUGGGAAUCUAAGUAAUAAGAACUUAAACUAAUGAGAUUUAUGUAGUUUACCCACAUAUACAUGAUCUUCAUUAACAUCAUUGAAGAAUAAAAAUAGAGUGCUUAGAAUUAAAACUUGUCUCCUAGCUCUCCAGGAGCGAAAUUAGGAGGAGUUUCGUGGGCUCGGACAAACUCAAUAGCUUUUUCAUAAACCCUAUAUUUGUACUAAAGAAUUAAGUAAUAACUUAUGAACCCUUAACAAAAUUGAUUGACAGCUCAAUGAUAAGAAAGGGGAAUGAAAUUUAGAACUCAUAAACUCCUAAUACUGACGCCGCAUCUGCUCUCCACCUCUAGCAUCUCAUCCAACCCCCUUACUCCAGUCUACCAUACUCACUCCACCCCCAACCCGACCUUUAUCCCAUGUUAGUAGUGUUUAUCAAAAUUAUAUAUAUAUUCGCGUUUGCAACACCAUUUUUUAUUUACUAAUCAAAUAUAUUACAAAACACAUUCAUUUUUCACGAAAACUUUUUUUCGUAAAAAACAUUUUCCUUCUUUCCAAAAUACUAAUUUUGACAUAUAUAAAGACAUAGCAAUCUAUCAACUACUUUAGAUUUGUAUCAAUCAUGUUAACCUAGUUUUCAAGUUGAAGCAACUUAGCUAAUGCACCCUAAGUGGUAGGUAAGUAGGUACCUUAAUUGGAUUCUAGUUCAAACAUGUUUUGCAACUUGUCAUCAUGUAGAAUCCUUGUCCGAGUGAUUUUACUGUUACGAUCCACUGAAAUUUAAUUAUUAAUUAUUUUAAUUUUUUUAAAAAAGGAAAAAUUUAUUUUUAAAUAUCGUAUUAUAAAAAAGAAAUGUUUUUAAAGUAGAUGAAAUAAAAGAAGAUUUAACAUUGGUCACUUCCUUGAAUUUUUUUGUAUUAAUUACAACUCAAGUAAAUUAAUUUUUUUUAUAUACGUGGAUAUAACUUAUUAUCUUAUAUUGGAUUAUUAAAGAUCUAUCUUUAUGAGAAGAUUAUUGAAUUAUUUCAAAUGUGUCCUUUUCAAAUUUGAUAAUAUUAGUUUUGUAAUGUAAUGAGACAAAGAAGGCAAUUUCUCAAAAAAUUUCUUACUGUUAUUAUAUACUCUCGUUUCUAUCUACUUGUUCAUAUUUUCUUUUAUAUUAGUUCUUAUUUACUUGUUUAUUUUAACAAAUCAAGAAAGAACAGUAAUAUCUUUUUUAAUAUGUCAUUCAAUUCAAGAAAAUUUCUAGUACUACUAAGUUGUAAUGCAUGUUUUUUGGAAUCAGAAAAUAUAUUUAUUAUAUUUGGAGAGUUGUAAAAUCUUUUAAAUUAAGAAUAAAAUUAUAACUAACAUAUGAUAAUCACUACGGUCUUAAUAUUUAUACUACUUCUUAAGUGGAUAACUAAAUAGGAACAGAGGGAGAGUACUUUAUAUUUAGAGCCUGUUUGACUCAGCUGGUCAAAUUGACUUAAAAGCUGGUUUUUGACUUAUUACCUGUUUGGCAAUACUCAAAAUAACUUAUUUUAAGUUAAAAAAAAACUUAUUUUAAGCCAAAAGUUAUAAGCUGGGGUAGGAGUGCUUUUUUUUUUAGCUUAUAAGUUGUUUUAAGUUGACCACAUUUUUAUCUUUUUCCCCUUAAUAUUUUAUACAAUCUCCAAAUUACCCAUAUAACCCUAACAUUUCUUUCUUCCAUUUUUCCCUUUUCACGUUUGACAUAACAACUUAAGCACUUUUAUCCAAACGCAUAACUGCUUAUUUUAAAAAUAAGUUUCAGCACUUUUAAAAAUACUUUUUUAAAGUUGCUUUUAUUAAGUCUAUCCAAACGGACCCUUAAUUUCUCCCAUCAAGUUGCAAAAUAAGAUAACUUUUUCGUUUUCCAAUUACAAAUUAUUUGUAAUUUCAUUCAACUCUCUAAUUAUAUACUUAAGAUAAGCAUCAUAACUUGUCUAAUUAAUAUUUAACAGUUUAAUACUUGACUUACCUCUCCAAACAUGAAAACUUAAUCUAACCCCAAACAGCCAAAAAAUUUCCACAAGAAAUAGGUCACAACGUAUGACUUUUUGCCAAUAAAUAUAUUCAUUAUUUAAAUUUAUAGUUCGUAAAUUUAAAAAUAAAACAAGUUCCAACAUUUGAAAUAGAUAAUUUAUACUUAUUAAAAUAAAUUUUUCACCCAAUAUAAAGUUUAAAACUAAAAUUAAUUAUUUACUAGCGCGAUAACCAUAACUAUUUAUCGAAAUACACCUUAUAAAAUAACCACGAACGCUAUUUAUUUUUUACUCUAGAACUAAAUGCCAAGUUUCAAACCCAUCCUCAAAGGAAGAGAAAAAAAAUAUAUUUUAAAAAAAAACAUUCUUUUUUUAAUUAUAUAAAUAUUUUAAUAAUGAUACACAUGUCAGUCUUUGGUUAUAAUUUCAUAUGGUCCAAAUAUCAAAAUAGAAAAACUAUGUUUACCAUCACUUCACUCCAAACCGCCCAUGUUUGAUGACUUUUUAUAGUAAAAUUAAAAAAAAAAAGUAAAAUAUUUAUUAGCUAAAUUAAAAUAACUAUUAAAAAUUAGUAUGGCCUUCUAAUUGACAGUUAAUUUUUUUUAUCUCAUAAAUAUUACUCCCUCCAUUUAAAAAUAUUUGUCAUGUUACGCUUAUCGAAAAUUAAUUUAACUAAUUUUUAAAAGUAAAUUGUAUCACAUUAAUUCGAUAUUUUAAACAAAAAAAUUUGAUAUUCUAAAACUAUAUGAAAAGUACUAUAAAUUACAAUUUUUUCAAAUUAAUGUGAUAAAAAAAAUGCAUUUUAAAAUGUUAGUCAAAGUUUUUAUAAUUUUACUUUAAAAAUAGAAACCAUGACAAACAAUAUCGGACGAAAAAAAUAUUAUUUAGCAUAUAUAUAAAAUAUAAUAUGAAAAAUAAUUUUAAUAUUUUUUUGACGAUUAUACUGAUAUAUUAUUAUAGAGGAUCCGUUUGUAUUAGGUUUAACUAAUUAAGACUUGUUAAUCUCAGCAAGAUAGGAGCUCUUUUGAUCGGGUAAUAAUAGAAGAUUUUUGACUCUUAUAAGGUUAAAUUAAUUGUAUUUGUGAUUUUGUUACGUACGUAAUAUAUUGAAAUUGAAAAAUUUAUACUUCAUUCGUUUUUUAAAAAAUGAUUUUCUUUUCUUUUUAGUAUUUUUCAAAAAGAAUGACCUCUUUUCUUUUUAGUAUUUUUCAAAAAGAAUAACCUCUUUUCUUUUUGGGUAACAACUUGUCACGUGACAUGUUUAAGGCCACAAGAUCAAAGGGCAAUUUUGUACAUUUGAUCUAACUUUAAUUUAGGAUCACAAGAUUAAAAAAUUUUCUUUAUAUUAUUAUACUCCAUGUCAAGUCAAAGUAGGUUAUUCUUUGUGAAAUGGAAGGAGUAUUUUUUAUAAGAAUGAUUUUUCUAGAUAGAUAAAAAAUAAACGAAGCGGGACAUCUAAAGUGAGUAUCGAUUAUCGAAUAAGUAUUAUAUACUUGAAAUUCAUUUUCAUUAUCGAGAAUUCAACAAUUUAAUUAUGAAUUUACGCAUAAAUUGUCAUAAUUAAUAAAUAUAAAUUUUAUUAUUUAACAGUAUGAAAUGCUGAUCAUAUCGAGGAAAGAACCAUAAACAAAUAGCAAAAGUAACAACUUGCAUGGAUAUUUAUCAAUUUAUGGCCUUAAGUUAUCGAAUUUUAAUUUUGCCUUUAAUGACCUAGCAUUUGACAUUUAAAUCAAUUAUUGAACCUAAUCACUUAAUUUGUUGUAUUAGUUUUUUCCUUACACCUAAUUUUUUUUCCUUGUUUCCCUUUUAGUUUUUGGAGUCUAAAUUGAAGCCCUGACUAAAUACGAAUUACUCACUGUAAAACUUAUUCGAAGGUGAUGCUCCCAAUAAGAUUUUCUUCAUCACCAGACUUUGAACUCGAGAUCUUUGAUUACGAGAGUAGCAAUCUCACUAUUACUAUACCACUCCAACAUUAACUUCCAUUGUAUAUUAGUUAAUCAUAGAGCAAGUAUACUCAUAAUCAUCAUCAUAAAAAGAAGUCAACUCUUUUAAUGUCUUCUUUGGAUCCUUUUAUUACCAAAACACAAAUUAAAAGUGAAAGCAAGUAAAUUUUUAGAGAGUUGUGUGUAGCUUAUCUAAUGGACGGUUGGAUGAUGAUGUUGAUAGUGAGAGGUGGGGCCCAACCAAAAAAGAAAAAAGAAUUUUCUAGAGUUAUUGGAGUUAUAUAUACAUGGGUAAAAAUUGACAUGUAUAUAAUAUCAAAUUAUUGUUUGAUUACAUGAUAUUUAUCGAUCAAAAGAUAAUUGAGUCAUCAAAGUAUGAAUGAUGUGACCAUACUAUAUAUGCAAGACACCUCACAUAUUAUCAAGACUAAUCCAAUAUUUAGAUGAAUAUGAGUUCAAUUCAUCACGUAAAUUAAGAUUAAUAUAAUAAACGUUUAGAUAAUAUUUUGAAAGAAGCAAAUAAAUAUGUAGAUUUUUUAACAAAUGAAGUACAUAAACAUAAAGAAGAUAUCGUAAUCAAUGAAGCUCCGCUCAAGAAAAUGGAGUUAAAGGUAUGUUUUGCUAGAUGUAAGAAAAUAAAUAAAUAAUUGAAGUGAUAAUAAUUAAUUAAAUCGAAGAAAUUAUUAGAAACACUCUAAGCCAUAAUGGAAUAUUGCAUUAGUUUUGACUUUUGAGUUAGUGAUUGGUUUGUAUUUAUGGGUUUGGUUACAAUCCAAUUAAUAAAUUAUAAUUAAAUCAAUAGCAUUAGCCUCGUGUUUAAAUUAAUCAGGCUUUAAACAUAAUAAUGAGAUAAUAUUGCAAUUAAAAAUUAAAAAUAAAAGAUACUGUAUAUCACUAUUUUAAGAUAACAAUAAUGAUAAUAUAUUCUCGUAUAAUUUUACAAAUUAAAUAUGAGAAGAUAUAUCUUUAUGAAAUAUGAAAAUCAAUUUCGAUAGACCAUCUACUUGAAAUAAAGAGAUAUUUAGUGAAUGACACGAAUGAAAAUGCUUUGUAUCAAAAUUCCAUUAAACUUGAGUUUUUCACUAUUAGCAUAUGGUCUAUGUUUAAGAUGAAGAAAAUAUUAUCAAAUUCACUCAUAAUAAUAAUAAUAAUAAUAAGUAAAUUUAUGUGAAAUGCUUUGGAUAUCUAACUUGCUAUAUACAAUAAAAUACAAUAAUUAUUUAGUCUUUAUAUACACAAAUCAAUUACUAUAAUAUAGUUCAAUCAUUUCCACAAAUGAUUUUGACAUUUUAUAAAAACAAAAAUGAAUGAAAUAUUAAUGCUAACAUGGCACAUGUUGAACUUAGCUAUCAUUGAAAAAUUAAGGUCCAAUUUGCGAACUUUUCUUUGAUUCUUGACACAUGUCAUGCUGGAUUUGAAGAAAUAGAAAUGAAAGUCUAAUUCCGCUAGAGAAAGUUGAAUAUGAAUUAAACCAAAGAGGAGUUUUUGACUCAAAAAGUAGUGGCAGGAAAGGAAGCAGCACACCAGGAGUGAAGACGAAACAAGAUUUCAGUGAUUCCGUCUUCUAUUAAUUCUUUAUUCAAAUUCAAUUCCAACAAAUAAACAGAUUUCUAAACUUGUUGGAUUUUUUCAUCAGAUAUUUCAACUACGUCAUUUUCUACUAAAUAUUGAAUCCUCAUAAUCCGUUCCCUUUAAACAAACACCGUUGUCUAAUGUAGAACCAGAUUUAUGAUGAGUAUUGAUAGAGGAUACGUAUUUUGUUCCACAACUCAUUAGUCCAAUUGAUAGUGAAAAUGUUCGAGAAUAAUUGUGUUUUACUUAAGUCAUUUGAACACAAUUAGAAAAAAAUGAGACUAACACGAGUUUUCUUCAUUCCUUCAAUCAAAAUUAUUACAGUUCGAACACAAUUAAAGACAUUUAUAAUAGAAAAGCCGAUCAAAAUCAACCAAUAUUAUUUUUUUAAAAAAAAUUUGGACCAUUUCUCGAUUUGUGCGUGUCAUCCUUGCGCAUGGGCCAUGCUAAUCUUCUCUGUAUGUUCCAAUUUUAAAGGAACAAAUUAUGGGUAGUUCAAUAAUUCAAUAGAAAAUGACAUAGUUAAGACAUUCGAGAAAAAAAUUCUAACAAGUUUAGAAAUUUAUUUAUGUAAUCGACAAAAAUUAACAUCAUUUAUCACUUAGGAGACGUGAAUAUAACAAACUUAUUAUGUCGAUUUUAAUGGUUGAAGAGAAUAGAGUAUAUAUUUCAUUAUUUUUGAUAAAUUCUCGAUUAAACAAGAUAAAUAUAUAUAGAGUAAAUUGUUGUCAAUAGAUUCUGGAGAUAACAAAACAAGAAGCAAAAUUACGUAAACGUUUGAUAUUGAUAUUAGGCAUAAGCCAAUUCCAUUUCGGUUUCAGGGGUAAAAAAGGGAGGAAUUUGUUCUCACAUGUAUUUACGAGAUCAAUAACUUUGGUACAACCUCCAAAAUGGAUCAAUCCUAGCCGUUGAUUAGAUUCUAAUCAAAUCCCCACCCUUAAAACAAACACACUUUUUCACCGAAAUUGAAAAAAGAAAAGAAAGGAGAAUCAAACGAUCACCAAUUACUUAUCAACAUCUAUGCUGCUGUUCCAUCAUAAUACAGAAGUCCUCGAAGCAUACAAACCCAUCACCAUUUUUAUCCACACCUCUUAUCAUACGCCGGCACUCCUCUAACGUGCACCGUGAAUCUCCGAUCUGCCUAAACACGCUAAACAGCUCAUCCGCCGUGAUCUUCCCGUCGUGAUCGGCAUCGAAGAAAUCAAAAGCAUCUCUCAGCUCAGAAUCACACGCCGGCGGUCCAAACGCUGAGCUAAUAGCUCCGAAUUCCUGUAAACUAAUACAUCCAUCUCCGUCAACAUCAACUUCUUCAAGCAACAACAUGAGUUCCUCCUUACUCGGUGGUUCAGUCCCGACUCUGCUUAAAAUCGCUUCCAGCUCUUCCUUCCUUAUCUUACCGUCGCCGUCAGUAUCCAUCAUGUGAAACGCAUGGAUUAGCUCAGCGUAAACUACUUCCGCAGCAGAGAUUUCGUUCGGUAAGACGCUAGUUGGAGUAGAUGAUCCGGUUGGUUUUCUGAAGCCGCGAUGAGGAAGGGAAUCGGAAUCGGAGGAGGAACCGAAGGAUGAGGUUUGAGAUCUGGAAAUUGAUCGAGUUUUUUUGUAGUUGAAGAGCUUUUUGGGGAAGUUUUUGAGGAGCUUCAUAGCUAUGGAGGAUGAGAAAGUGAAAUGGAGAAUGAAAAAACAAGAAAAGAUGAGUGUAUGAGAUAGAGGAAGAAGAUGGAGAUUAAAUGGUAGAAAGCCAUGGUGAAUUUCCAGGAAACUUCGUAGUGAGAGAAAAUGAUUUGAAGAGAAUACACUGUACUUUUGGUAUAUUUGUUCAAUUAUAUUUGGACCACUAUGGCCCCUCUCUUUCGAUACGAAUUUAAAUUUAGUCUUUAGUUCAUCGAUAUCGAAUCAAAAGCCUGUAGUACUCAUUCAAUAUUUAAUAUUUGUAUUCAUCUGCAGAAUUAUAACUUAUAUACUCAAUCUAUUUGUUCGAUAUUUGAUUUAAGUGUAGAGUUACAAACUCGUAUAAUCAUUUCGAUUUACUUGAAUUAUAUAUUUUUUAAAACUACACUAUGAAAAAGGACCAAAAAUAUCGCAAUAUCAACCUUUUUAUCUUAGAUUUAUUAAUUUUCAUUAUUUUCUAAUCUUUUAUUAAUAAAUCAAAAUAUAUUUCUUAUAAUUUUAUACGUAUUAUAAGUUAUAACAUUAUGUGAUUACAAAAACUUUACAUUAAAAGAUACAUAAUUAAAUGUUCAUAAGUAUAGAAAUACUAGUUUACUAUUUAUAGAUAGAAAAUCAAGUUUACUAUUAAACUCAAUGAUGAUAUAACUAAAAAAAAUCAUAAAAUUUAUUGAAUCAAAGAAAACGGACAAUACCUAAGUCACUUUCAUUAUUUAUGUUUGUGGGACUUUAAUUUAAUCGCCAACUACUAGAAGUAUUCUGCAUUUAAAGAGUGAUAAUUAUCUCUUUUAGAAUGUGUUUGUGAAAAAAAUGAGUGGUCGAGGGAUGUUACGUGUUUAUCAUAAUUAUAAGUUAUAAUAUAAUGUUUAUUUUUCAAAUUAUGUAGAGAAAAGAAAAAAGAAUUUUAUUGAACGAAAAUUAAAGAACAUAAAAGCUUUUAGUGAAAAAGUAAUGUAAAAAGAAAAAUCAAUUAACUUAUAUAUCGGUUGAUAUUAAUAUCGAGUGUAUGAUUGGACAUAUAGGUUACAAGAUUUAAUUAAUUUGAUAGGUACUUAUGAUUGAUAAUCAAUAAGUAAAUGAUUGGACAUAAGUUAGUUUUAAUUAGGUUCAUUAAUUAUAUAUAAGAGAAUCAUCUUAUGUUUAUAUUCUAACUAUGGUUUCCUAUUCAUUCAUUGCACCAAAACUUGGUGUUGGAUUCAUUGUUGCACGCCAAGAUAGGCUAACACAUUAUUUUAGUAGCAAAAGUUACGUCCAAGUCAGAUUCUUUCUCAGUAAGAUAGUAAAAUAUAUAGCCUCGAUGAAUAUACUACUUAGCUCUAAAGAAAUAUAUGUAAUAUUCAUGACACGUGAGCAUUAAAAAGAACGAUCGAUUCACAAACUUCAGAAUUAACAUCUAUCGAAGAAAACAGUACACAACACUUUAUAGAUUAUUAAUUUGUCUCGUUUGGUCUUCACUUGUCUAAAUGCAGUUAAUAACACCAACUGACAGCCCAUUCAAACGUCUUGUAAUUAGACUUUAUGGCCAAACUGCUUCUGGACCACAAAAAUUAAAUUUAUAAUCGAAUUCCAUUAGUAAAAUCCGAAAAACAUGAUAGAUAUAUAACUUUUGAGAGGUACAUGCAUUAUUUUCAAUCGCAAAAGUAAUAAUAAUGUUACGAUAACAAUAUACUUAAUGUGAUUCUGUCGUUAUCCUAUCCCAACCUUAAGAAUUAGCUAGAGAAAUUGUUUACGAUAAAUUCUCUAUUAUUUAAAGACUUGUGACAACUGGAAAACCUCCUGGCCAGGACUCAAAAAGACUUGUCAACACACUUCAGUGGCAGACAAUUUGCACAUGCCACUCUUCCAAAUGCAGAGAAACAGGCAACUGUUUUGCCUAUACAAAAGUCACUCAGAUAGUCACCAGACACAGGAUAUUUAGACAUGUAAAAGACAAAAUUCAGCUCGAAGCGUUACCCUUGAAUAGUUCAUACAGUGUGCGGUCUAAGGUUUGAAUAUGUAUAGGCAAAAUUCUACUCGAAGCGUUACCUUUGAAUAGGUCAUACAGUGACUGAUCUAAAUUAUAGCGCAAGCGAUCGGUCAAAUAUGGUUCUCCAUAACACAAUUUAACUAGGGAUAUAAGAAACAAGAAAAAGAUUCUUUAAAAUUAGCUCAGAAUUAUCAAAGUUGUAAAUUUUCAUUGAGGACUAAAAGUACUAUGAACUAGUAGAAGAGUGAUGAUCAGUACACUAAAAAAUAACUACACAUAAAAUUAGUAACUCUUGUAUUUACAAUAUCAAUUCUGAGUGUGUUAGCUCUGACUAUAAACCAUUGAGUAUAAAAGAAUAUUUUGAGUGUUCUGUGUCCUGUGCAGAAUAAUCAAAGCUAAACGAACCUCGUUUUCUCAAUGAUCGAUAACUUGCUUGUCGAUGACUUGUUUAUCUUCCCCAUCAUCAAUGGUUGAACGAUUAUCACCAGAGUGAACGGAAUCAACUUCAUUUAUCUUGCCACUUUCUUGCUCAACAUAGUCCUCACCAUCCUCAGAUACUGAGCUAAUAUCCAUCUCCUUUUCUGGACUGUCAAGUUGCACACACUCAGCAACUGUAUCCUGCACAGAACUGUUAUUUUCUGAAUCGAGGCUUCUAUUCGAUGGGGUUACGUCUCCUUUUCUUACCACGUUGAAGACAAUACCGUUGUUAGUCCUUUCUGGCUGUAGAAGGUCACCUUCACCUACCAUAAUGCUUGAACUACCCGCGGGGACUCUAAUACUGAAGUCUCUUUGAUCAAAUUCGGUGUCUGAAGUUCUAUCUGGAGUUGAUACCCUUGGGCUCGGGGAGAACAGGUCUCUACCAGCCAUCUGAGGAACGAGAUUGUUGAGGUCAAUAGUCAAUCCUUUGUUCAAUCGUGAACCAAUCUCCAAGUUCUGGACAAAGUCGAUAAACUUAUCAGCAGAUGUUGUCCUCAUCAGAGGACCACCAGAUCUUGUCCAAGAGUUAAGGUCCACAUUUUCGGACUCGCUGUCACUGCCAUCAUGUGCGCUCCGGUGUGUUCGCCAAUUUCUGGUGGUAUGUGCGCCGGAACCACUGCCUCCUUGAUGAUGUGAAGCAGCAACAUCCGCAAGAAAGUCUUCAAGGGAACCUGUUGAAUUCUCUCGUGCAAUGCAGUUCCAAGAAGGAAUUCUUCUGGAAGCAUUAAAUCUGACAGUGCUUGACAAGCCGUGAGAAGCAGCAGCCGCUCUCUCGGCACUCCUUUUCAGUCUACGCAUGUGAUUCAGAAUAGCAACACAUUCAUCAAGUGCAAGCUCAAUUCCACAGUUAGCUUUAAUGGCUGAGAGUUUUUCCCAAGUGCACCGUCUUCCUUGAUUUGCUGCCUUUUGCAGCUCCAGAGUAGAGGGGUUCUGUAUGAUUUUCGAGUACUGUAUCAUAAACAAAAAUGGAACAAAGAUCAGUGUCAAGCCAACCUGCAGUCUUCCUUGUACAACUUAUUUGAAAAUAGAGACAAAAUUUCGAACAAACUUGUCAUGAUUUACGAAACAACACUUUUUCCUUAAUUGCAAAAAGAGAAAUUGCUAGUAGUGGACAUACCUGAGCUAGAGUGGCAGGCAUCACAACAGUUACGUCACCCUCCCAAUCUUGAGCAAAAAGCUUUGCUAUUCCUCCCAAGGGAAAACCAAGUUCUAACACCUGGUGGCAUCUGUGCUUCACCUCCAUUUCAGCAAGCUGGGCAAGCUGCACGGCCAAAUACUUUAUGUUACAAUUGUUCUGCUUAAAUUCAACGCUAGGAGCAUGCAAGGAUAUGAGCCAUGAACUAGCAAUAGCAAUUCUUAGUUACGAGUUAACAACAACCAACAAGGCCUACAUAGAGCCUACACAUUUGGAGGUCUAAACCAUAGAGCUAAAACAAGUAUACAUGUGAAGAUGCGAUCAGUUGAUCUAACGGAAUAAAGGCAAUUUGGUUGGCUAGAUUUAUAUUAGAUUCAGGAUUUUUCUAUAGGUUUGACACUCAUUCCGCUACUCUAGCACCAAAAGGAUAGCAGAAGAAUAUCAACAAGUGAAUCUUGCUUUGAUUAUAUAAUUCAAAACCACUUUGAGCUGCAAACUGCUCAUUAAAUUUUCCAACAAAAGAUUGUUGCUCAGAAACUGAUCACCAGUGACUUACAAGAACCCUAUUUCUACAAAGGAGAAAAUACCAUAGAGAUGUUCACACCGCUACUUGGCGGUGCAUGUUAACUGUAAAAAUUAUUCUGCAUAUGAUUCCUUCAAAUCAAUCUCUUCAGUGACUUCGAUUGAACUAAAGAGCUUAUUUUAAAUGUUCAAACAAGUGAAGAUUCUUUAAGUUAAAUGAGGGAAUCAAAUAGCUCCUUAUCACCAUAUGGUUGAAGUCUAUGGUAUACACAUCUACCUAUAGAUACAGAAUAAUUACUUGAAACUAACUCAAUAAUCACAACAACCAAAAGCAAAGUACUCUACACUUCUGUUGCAAUGAGACAAAUACAUGUACAAGAGUUAGAUGAUGCAUUAACAGCGACCAUGGACAUCAACUGAAAGCAAAAAGACCAAGACCAUCUAUAAUAAAGACAAUAGAAGUCCAUAUGAACAUACCUUGGCAGCAAAGUUGCCUCCAUAAGCUCUUACAAACUCUUUGAUCCUCAGUAGAGGAGCGAUAUGUGGAUUCGCCUGGCUCACAAUGAAGUGAUUGACAUUGAAGAGCUCCUUUAGCUGCAUCAUUGGCAAAUCAACCUCCAAGCUACCAUCCCUCCACCGGCGAGAAGAUGCACCAGAAGUGUCAUCAGGUCCCAAAUGAAAUGGUGGAUGAUAUGGAACAAGAUCUCCACUUCUAUCCUUUGCCAUCAGUUCUUGAGCUUCGAAGAGACCAGGAAAGGCACAAGAAGCAGUCACAGCACUCCAUAUAACAAUAUGAGGUGAAGUCAAGUAAUUCAAGCAUCUAGGAGGUUCAUGUUUCCUAGGGGAGCAAACAGUAAUCCCGAGAACUCUACCAGUCAUGUCAUAGGCUUCUUGGAAAGUAAGAUUAUUCGUGAGAUUGCGUAAAAGUACCUGCAGCUGUCUGAUUUCAUGUACAGCACCCUGGGUCAUGACUCUCCUGAAAAUAGUAAAAAUUCCACCUAACUGAUCGAAAAAUUGCAAGGAGUGCCAGGAGUCUUCGAAAAAACUCUGGAGCUCAGGCCAAGAUCGAGUCGCAACUAUGGAGCACAUAAUCGAUCCGACACUUGAACCAGCAAUUAUCCGUGGCAGCAGCUUGUGUUCUACAAGCGUUUUCACCACACCAACAUGGAAAGCUCCUAGAGAGGCACCUCCACUUAAAAGCAAAGCCGUCCUACCAAAGGCAUGUCUUGUUUCAUGCAUGAAAGCAAGCUUCUCUUCCAACAGAAGCUCCUCUGAAUCAGAGUCGCAUACCAUUUUCAACUGAGUUGAAACCUCAUCAAUAUAUUCCUUAAUAAGUCUAGGCACAUGAAGCCUUCCCUUGUGAAGUUCUGAAUUGCACAUAUUACCAAGAUUCCUUACAAGGUCAGCUCUCAUACAGAAAAUGAUAUCUCUCAGAGAACCCUCUUGCCUACGAUGUCGAAGCUCUUGAAGUUUAUUUCGAACUAAUUCUUCAUCAUAAAGAUCUGCCUCAUUCAAUUUAGGUGUCUCUUUAUCCAACAUCUUAGCAGCAUGAGCCCACUCCUCAUAAGUCAAGGCAGAUCUCAUCAUAUUCCUCCAAAACUUCCUCCUAUAAGCCAUCUCAGCCUUAACUUUUACAUUAGUAUACCGCCUCAACAAGAAGGCGAGAAGCGUUACUAAUGCCAAUAUCCCUUGUGGAUUGCGAGGGUGCAACCACGAAAUCAAAGGUGUCACAUAGUACGAAAUUCCACUCUUAAACUUGUACAAGUAAUACAUCAAGAAAUGAAACAAUCGAUGCCUCAACUGCGUAAUCGACUUGCAAAACAAGACUCUAAAGGCAAUUGUUCGACCCAAUAUCGUAGAAGGUCCAAUAGCAAAGAAGUCAAUAGUAGCCUCAUUACUUAUAUCCAUCUCAAAUGGACAAAUGAACUGGUUCCAAUAGGUUGCUCAGCAAAAUGUUAAGACAAGCAAUACACAAAUACCUAAUAAUCUAAAGGCUCUAAACUUAUACCAAUUGAACAAGAUUAGCACAACAAAGGUCUGUACUAUCUCUGAAUAUCAAAGUAACACAGAAACUAACGAUACUCUGACAAAGGUUAUUCACAAGAUUCAAAGUAAUCAGAUUGAACCAGAAAUUAACAAAGCUAAGUUAAAGUUCAAGAAUAGACCUACUAGAUCAAAGAAAAUACCUCAUAUAUUAGGAAAGUCAAAGAGAUAAAUUCCCAAUCUUUUCCUGUUUCAACCUAUCCCUUUGUACAAAAUCUUGUCAAUUCAGCUCAAACACCAACAACAACUUGACAAAAGCACAAAACCCAACACACCCAGAAAUCAAGAUUCAAUCUUUUAACAUCAAGAUUCAAUUUUUAUGCAACCCCACAAACCAAAAUCAAAAGGGGUUCUAGGAAUCAACCAAAAAAACUAAAAUUUCUCAAAGCAAAACCCAGAAAAGGGAUAAGAACUCAAGAACAGGCUAAUGCUUCUUUUUCAAAAAAUACAAAGAAAAUGUGAAAAAUAAUAAAUUUAAUCGCACUGCAAUUUGGCACAGAUUGGAUUUAAUAGAAUCAUAUUGGGAUUCGAAAAAGGAAAAAAAAGUCAGAAAUUUGGAUCAGAUAACGAUUUGAGUAUAUGGUUAAUAAACUGACGUAUGAUAUGUAUCAGCUAAGGAAGUAUGGAUAGACAUGAUUGAAUAUAUUAUUUCUAAAAUUCAAUUCAAUUCUAUAAAUAUAUAAAAUAAAAUAUUAUUCAACAAUUUUCCUAUUCUGCAGAAAUUUGUAAAUCGUUUUAAUGAUUUUUUAAAAAAAUAAAAGUUUGAAUUUGUCCUUUUCUCCUUUCUCAAUAUGAAAAUUGUUUUGAUUUUGUGAGAGAUAGGAGAAAAGGGCAAAAGUAAAUGUUUUCGAGAUAUGAGGUUGUUGCUUGCAAGUAAUUUAAUGACUUUUUUUAUUUUAUUUUUUCCAAUUUUUAUUUGGUAUUCAAUAUUUAAAUUCAAAUUUGAUUAAUGAAAAUUCGUGUAGAAUAGGUUAAAUCCAAAGGUGGCGCGUUUCUAACAAGGACUCGAAAUUGAAAUUUAGAUUAAAAAGGAAUUGUCUAUUUAAUGCACCACAUCUUUAGAUUACUUUUAGGUUGGAGUAUACAUUUAUAGUUCGACUCGAUUUAAUUUCUAAUUUCUAGUACUAAAAAUCAAAAUUAAAUUAGUAUAAUAAACUUUUUUAUUUAUUUUCAGAGUAUAAAAUAAAAACACGAUAAUAAUUUGAUAUAAUGAAGUAUAAUAGAGAUAUAAAACACGUGCAUUAAAGAAAUAUUAAAAGUUUUAGAAGUAAUUAAUAAGCAAUAAUACUCAAAUAUUAUUUAUUUUUUUGGUUGUGUGUACAUAUUGAGAAAAUGACAUUUGAAAUACCUUUCAAGUAAAUCAAUUUAGAAUUAGUAUUACAACUUAAUGAUAUUAUUUGUUGCGUGUGUUCACAAUACUAUAAUUAAUAUUCUUUGUCCCUAUACUUGAAAAUGUUUAGUUCAUCAAUACACAUACAUAUACAUAUUUAGUUGUCAUAUAUAUAUAUAACUAUUUAUAUACAUUGACAGUUUACGUAUUAAAAGAAAAAAAACAGUAGCAUAACACUUGUGUGUCAUAUAUAUGCCACUAUAUAUAUGAUGAUAUGCGUAAUAUUAUAAAAUGACUUAUACAUAAGAUACAUACACACAACAAAUAUAGAUAUAUCACAUAUAUCUUGUGUAUAAGUUAAUGUAUACGUAUUGUAGAAUAAUAUAUGUGACAUAUAAUGAUUUACAUACAUUCCGACGUAUAUACAACUAUUCCACCAUCACCAGAAGAAGAAGAAGAUGAAGUCAAUGACACUAACGAGAAAGAUAAAGAGAGACUAUUUGAAAUUACAUUUUGUUAGUGAGAAUUUAAUUUUUCUCGAUCUAAUUAAGACCAAGAGAGAGAAUUGGGAAGAAUGGAAGGGAUUAGGUUUAUCAAAUUAAAAUCUAAAAUUAAGGUAUUGCUAUGUUUUGUAAACUAAUGUUAUGUUAGAUAAUAAAUUAAAAACAUUGCUAAAACGGAUAAAUCAAGGAACUUUUAGUCUUUUAUAAUCUAUUCGAAUUUAGAUCACAUCAUUUUUCCUUUUAAAAGAAAAAUUGUACAAAAUAGCAAAUAUUUAAAUCAAAAUAAAUUCUAUAGCUAUUGUUUAAAAUAUUUCCAUAUCAAAUUUUGCACAAAUUUUGCCAUUUGGUUCGGAUCCACAUCAAGCGGAAGAUUUAUUUUUAUCCAAAUUCAUUCCCUAUCUUUUCUCUCCCAUUUUCUUUCAGUUAUCCCUAAAAUUUCUUCCCAAAUCAAUUAUUUUUAAUUGGUUGUGGCCCACCUUCUAUUUUUAUACAAAUAUGUUAGCUAUAUUUUUAAUAGCAAUAUAUUACCCCUCCCUCCAAAUUAUGUAUUUAUUUACUUACUCUAAAUAAGGAUUAUUUUAUAUAUUCCAAUUUUCUUAAAUAUAUUAAAGUUAUUAUUUUUUCUAAUAGAAGAAAAAAGAUACUGUCGGUGCCGACUUCGUUGUUAUAGUGACCUUCCAACUAGAAUUCCCAAAUACCCUUGAAAAUAUUUAUUGAUAAUUUAAAUCUUUUGAACUAUUAUAUUUGAAAUUUCAAAGUUUUUAAAUUCCAAAUUUUUUUAUUUUAAUAAGGUUUAUCUAAUUGAUAUACAUUUUAAAAAUGAUUUGAGUAGUGUAACUUUUUUUUUCAUGGUGUAAAAAAAGCCUUUGCUUAAUUAUUAAGAUUUCAAGUAUUUCAGUAAUAUAUUAAAUAUAAUUUUAUGAAUAAAAUUUAAAUAUGAUAAUAUAGACGCAAAUCUUAUUAAUUAUCUUUAAAUCUGUGCAAGUAAAUAAAAAAUUAAAAGACUAAUCACUAUGACCCAACAUCUAAAUUUGUAAUCUAUUAUCAUUUUUAAACACACUAACAAGAUAACCUAACUUUCUUGUCAACUAGUCAACUACUACCUUAUAAUAUAAAUUAUGGAAUAUAAUCACUACCAUUCAUGUAAUAUUAAAUGAAAAAAGUCAAAUCUUGGAGAGGCAAAUAGCAUUGGACGAAGACUAUAUUAACUCAUCAGAUUAUCGAAUUUGAGUCAUGAGGAUAAAGAACCUGUUGGAAGUUGGAACUUGGAAGUGAAACGUUUAGUCCAGUUAACGGACCCAUGUGACACAUAUUUAAAUUCGUUAAGCUAGUGAAUUUCGAAUAAAGUACUAGCUCAAAACUUUGACAUCUAGAUGGGACAAAACACCAUUAAGAAACCAAACAAGCUUAGGUUCUUUCCUUGCCUUUUUCAUUGCUCAAUCAACAAAACACCCCAAAACAAGAUAAACCAACAAGUCCAAUUUCAAAAGCCAUCACCAAGAAUAGACUAAUAAAGAUUGAAAAACAUCAUAUUUUUUAUGCAAAAUGAUAACAAAUUUUGGCAACACAAAGUCACCUUGGAGAAGAUCAAAAUCAAGAAUCAAGCAGGUAUCUCCUUCUGAUUAUGCAGCAACCCCUCAACAUCCAUCUUCACUUGAAGUAUCCGAAUUGUCGUCUCAUUGUAUGAAGGCAACAAGUUGUUCUAAAGGGAAACAAGGUCAUACUCUUGAUCAUAGUCCAUCUAGUAGAAAAUCGUCGAGUUCUAAGUCAACUUGUUCAUCCACACUCAAGGAUUCAAAGUUCCCUCAACAAGUUGAACUUCAUCCUGGACUAAAUGAAUCAGACAGGAUUUCAAAAGUGAAAGUUUGUUCAUACCAUCAUUGUUCACUCAAUAAACACUCUGAUGAUGAUCCGUCUCCACCAGUAAAACGCGUAUAUAGAAGAAGAAGACUGUUAAAACCACAGAAAAGUAGGAGACUAGAAAGUGAGUCAACAAAUGCAGAUCAGUUUUCUAUUGAGAAAAGCAACCUUAAACAAGAUGUUGGAGUUUUCGGAGUAAAUGAGCCUAAUGUUGAGAGUGUGUUUGGUGAAGAGAGAAGUUAUCAAGAGACGAUCGAUAUAAUGAGGAAAUAUUCUACACAAGAGCAGGAUACACUGGUUAGUUCUGACGUAGAAUCAAAUGAUCAGAGUGUAACAACAUCAGUUUUCCGCGAUAUAGAGGACAUAGAAGCUGAUUUCUGUCAUGCGGUUCUGAUAAAGCCGGUUGACAAUGUCGUUACCACGGGUGAGGAGGUUGAGGAUAUCAACAGAGAACUGCAUGAGAAUGAAACAUCGUUGAUAUAUGAUCUCGUUGAAGCAAAAUGUAGCACUGAGGUUUCCUCUGCUUUAGCUAGCAACGAUACAAUGGAACUCGUAGACAAUUUGCAAGAGACGGAUGACAAAGCUAAUCCAACUGAAGAUGUUGAUCCCAAUGCCUCGUCCAAGAAGGUACACGUAGCCCAGCUUCCGAAAGAGAAGCUCAGGAGCAUGUGGAGCCUGAUUCACAGACAUAUGAUAUCGGAGGAAUCUACAGAAUUGGAAAGCAAAGUGAUCCGUGGAACUGAUGAAGAUAAUCACAAGGAUGGGAGCAACAAGUCUUGUGCAGCAGAAAGCUCUAAUUCAUUUUUGAGUUGUUCCGAAAGAGAGUCAAUGACUACAAAUCAGGAUGCAAAUAACGAAGAGAUUGAAGCGCCCAAGAUUUUGGCAGUUAAGCUAGUACGAGAAGCAAUCGAGAGAAUUCUUCUUCCAGAAGUUCAAGAUCACUCAUCAGAUGAUCAAUUAGUAACAAGUGAAGGUAAGACAUGAAUACUUCUACAUGUGAUUGUUUACUCUCCUCUCCUUAAAAGUAAAAACUUUCUGCUAAGUAUUGACAUAAGCAUUCAUUAUACAACAGUGUGUAACGAAGAGAACUCCAACGAGUCAGACACCAAGAAUGAGGAAUGUGAUAAGGCGGAUGAGGGAAUUGUAAUCAGAGAAAACAUUGACAGCCCUCAUGAGAUACAGGAAAACGAAGAACGAGUCAUGAACAAAGCUGAGAAGAAAGCACCAACGCACUGGAGCAAUCUUAAAAGAUGGAUUAUUCUCCAACGAUUCAUCAAAGAAUUGGAAAAGUUGAGAAAAUUCAAUCCAAGGAAGCCACGGUAUCUGCAGCUGGAGCCUGAUCCUGAAGCAGAAAAGGUUAAUCUGAAACAUCAGAUGGAGGAUGAGAGAAAAAGUGCAGAAGAAUGGAUGCUUGACUAUGCUCUACAGAAGGCGAUAAGUCAGCUUGCUCCGACUCAGAAAAGAAAAGUAGGACUACUUGUAACAGCUUUUGAAAAUGUGGUUCCUCCUCGAAGCAGUAAUAUCCAGGUUACAUUUCCUAAAUUGGAAACUAGAAAUGAAGACAAUAUGCAAACUGCAGGCAAGGGAAAGGCAUCAGUCUCCAAUGCAGAUAAUGUUCGUGAACACGUAGACAAAAGGGAUGCAGAAGAUGACAGUUCGAUGUUAAAAAAUGAUGAUACUCAAAAGGCCAUUGUCCUCUGCCAGAAGCUGAAUGAAGUAGCAAGCACUUCGAGUGACAAGGGAUCGGUUGAAAUAGUGGAGUUUGGUGAUUCAAAUGAUGAUUCUCAAAGAGGAACAUCUUCUACUAUCUCAAACUUAGGCAACGACGGUGAUGAAACACAGGAAAAUAACAUAAAUCUCUCUGAAUGUGAGGCCAUGGAGAGUAGUACUCUAUCCAGUGAUGAGAACGAAAAGAUAACAGAAGCAGAAGACGAAGACGAAACAUACAGAAAACAGGUCAACAAACAGAAGCACAUCAGCAUGUGGCAUUUGGUAUCGCAGCACAUACUUUCAGACGUUGUAUCAAAAAUAGGGAAUGAACAACUCGAUGAGGUAAACUACAACAAAACACUAGCUGAAACGAAUAUGGACAACUCCCUUCACGAUUUCUCUGAAGAAAAAGAUGAUAUGAGCCACAAUGGCAGAAGUUUCAGCAGAAAUGAUGCUGUCAAUCUCAUAAAAGAAGCUGUUAGCCAGAUACUAACAACGCCAAUUCAAGAUGAUUCAUCCAAUACACAGAGUGUCACUAGUGACAUACUUCCAGAUGAGGAGCCACCAAAAACUGAUCAUACAGAUUGCGGAGAGCAAAAUAGUACAAAUUCACUCAACGAAAGCUUGAGACAUCGUGACAGUCCAUUAGAAACAACGGAACUUGUUGCUAAUAAUCCUAUCACCGAGAGUAAAUUUGAGCCACCAAAGUCCAAGAGCUGGAGCAAGCUGAAGAAAUUGAUCCUCCUUAAGAGAUCAAUAAAGGUAUUGGAAAGAGCUCGAAAAGUCAAUCCACAACCCCCUCAACUUUUGCCCCCUACACCUGAUCAAGAACAAGAAAAAGUGGAUUUGAGGAACCAAAUGUCAAAUGAGAGGAAAAAAGCUGAACAAUGGAUGCUCGAUAAUGCAGUGCAGCGCAUGGUCAGUAAGCUAACUCCUGCACGGAAAACAAGAGUGGCGAUGCUUGUGGAAGCUUUCGAAGCAGUUGUUCCACUCCCAGAAGUAUGAAUUCAACUGGAGUGGACUAAACUUUAGUCAAGAAAAUUCCUUGAGAACCUUUUUACGCGAAAUGUAAAGGUAAGCAAAUUAACUACCUACACUUCCUAGAAAUAGCUAAAGGUAACUCAUUAAUAGAGGAUCUUUUUUGCUUUCCCUUUUCAUUGUGUUCCUUGAAUAAGAGCUUGGAGGGGUAACAUUUGAGGGAUCGAAACGAGCUUAUGCACUCGUUUGAUUCUUCUACUCCACAGCGAGGACGCAGACAAGAGUUUGCACCUAUCAUUAGAGGCUAACUGAGGAUGAAAGAACAGUCUUUUUAUCAUGAUAUGUGAUCAAAAAAUCGACUAUUGUACAGAUAAAUAAAACGUAAUUUCGGAAGCUUGAUCAUUCCUUCAGCACAACCAUAUGAUUUUUGUUUUUGGAUUAAUGAAUGGAAGAAACUUUGACUCAUGAGAGUAUAUGAAUCAAUGAAAAUGUUAUCUGAUGCACAAUUUCCUACCUGUUUAUAUUCACCUUAUUAAUUCAUCAUCAAAUAGAACAAGCUAGAAUGAUCAUCUACUAACUAUAUUUCUCCCACAUCGUUUGUAUAUAGAGACUUUUGUGACUUCAUAUAUGAGAAACAAGACUGAUGCAUUCGCCGAGCUUUGUAACGUGGGCUUGUAACCCGAGUGGGGGCAACAAUGUGGUGGAAUGUUGGGUCCAUCUUGAUGGAUGGGCUUGAAGGGCUAAUGUUCUGGCCUGCCCUGUCCAAGCACAGAGUUGGGUCAAGUGGUCUAUACGAAAGUAUAGGCCACUUGGCCUUUAGAGUGGGAUGGACUGCGUGAGGCUGGUUUCACAGAGCAACGACUAGUCCCCGCUCUGUGCAGUGGAAGGAUCACGGGCUAGUGCUCUUUGAGUCCUAACAAAAACCUGAUAGGUUGCCUAAUUAAACCAUCACUUUUUUUGGGCCCUAAAUCUUGCAUAUUAUGUCUAUGUUGGUAUUUAUAUAAAAUCAUGUCAACUUACUAUACAUUAAAAGUAAUUUAAUAAGGAGAAAUUUGUAAUAAGUUAGCUCGUUUUGGCAAUCUAUUUGAAAUCGCAAGUACUAAUAGUGAUAAAGUAAUUAAUGUUAAGUACGUAACUAUAUAUAAAUACGAUUGCACUUUUUGUGAUCUCUUUUGUUCUAUAGUUUUGGUAAAUUCAAAUUUGAUUCAAGGCUCUUUUGAUCUACAAUCAAUCUCUUUAGCCGCGAGAAGAUUUGGGUCUGUCAAAAAAAACUAACACUUUUUCCAACGUUUCUACCGUAAGAUGGGAAGUCCUCCAUUAAAAAAAGCAGUCAAGCGAUGAAAUUGCGAAAUAGAAUAGUUUCCACUUUCUUGUAGCACCUUCUGUAUAAAAUCGUUAAAUGUCUAAUGAAAUAAUGUCACAGAUCUAGACUUGAUUGAGUUUUUAGUUUUUCAAAGUUUUAUUUACGCUAAUGUUAGGUAGACAUUGUGUCAUAUUCUCCCACAUCGUUUCUGAACAAUGACUUAUUUGUGUUUAUAUUUUAGAUAACAAGACUCAACAUCGCCGAGCCUUGUAAGUGGUGGAAUGUUAGACUGACACUGACGGCUGGGCUUGGAGGGCUAAUCUUUGGCUUGCGAAGGUAUAGGUUGCUUGGCCUUUAGAGUGGGAUGGACUGCGUGAGGUUGGUUUCACAGAGCAACGAAUAGUCCCCGCUUUGUGCAGUGGAAGGAUAACGAGCCGGUGCUUUUCAAGUUCAAUAAACACUUGAUGUGCUGUCUAUUUAAACCACCAUUUUUUUUGUUCACCCUAAUCAAAGGGUCUCGUGUUUGUGUUUGAUUCCUGGAUAUGGAAAGCGAUUCCUCCUUAAUGAGAUCCUACAGCUCUGUCAGUGGAAGGAUAACGAGCCGGUGCUUUCCAAGUUCAAUAAACACUGAUGUGCUGUCUAAUUAAACCACCAUUUUUUUGUUCCUCCUUAGUCAAAGGGUCUCGUGUUUGAUUCCUGGAUAUGAAAAGCUUGUGGAAGCUUUCGAAGCAGUUGGCCAAUAGGCAGCCUUGGUCUUAGUCUAGUUCAUUUUUGUUUUUUGUUCUUUCAUCAUUUCAAACUGUGUGUCAAAUGAGGUAUGAUGAAGUAUUCAGGAUAAUUUCACUGGUCAUAUUUAGAGGCGGAUCAAAGAUUUAAAUUUAAUAGGUUCGACAUUUAAGAUUCUUAAUAUUAAAUUCAUUACACUGCUAAAUUAUGAGUUCAGAUGUAAUAUGUCUUUGAUGUUUUACUCUCUGCCGGAAGCUAUACCCACUCACCCUGGUUACACUUCCAGCACUUGUACAAUUAAAUAUCUGCCACCGAAAAGGACAACAACAACAAUCCUGUAUAAUCUCACCAGUGGAGUUCGGAGAAAGUGAAAUGUAUGUACACCUUACUAAGCUUGUAUGGGGUUAGAGAUGUUAUUUCCGAUGAACGCUUGAAGAAAAAGGAAUCCAACAUUAGAGUGGGGUCAAAUGAUUUAUACGAAGGUAUUGGUUGCUUGUCUCUUUAGAGUUGGGCAGACUGCGUGAGGCUGAUUUCACAGAGCAACGAAUAGUAUCUACUCUAUGCAGUGGAAGGACAACGAGUCAGAGCUUUUCAAGUUCAAAAAACACCUGAUGGGCUGUCUAAUUAAACCACCACUUUUUGUUUACUUCAGCCCUUUUUACCAUCCAAUUCAAUUUCAUUUUUUUUUCCAUUGUUGCUCAAUUCUCAAGUAAAUGCAAAUAAUCUAUUUUUGGGCAAAUGCUUGUGUAAAAUUGAUGUAUAAUGAUAGGUGAAUUUUCUAUACAUAUGAGUUAUCUAAAUGUGUAAAAAGAUAUUUUAAACUGACAAUGUAUAUUUGAAUUAUUACAUGAAAUGAAUGAAAAAUGUAGUAUAGUGGAUGAGAUUGCUCCUUAAUCAAAGGUCUCGUGUUCGAGCUUUGGUUAUAUAAGUAUCCUUGAUAGAGAGCGCUUUCCUCCAAAUGAGGUCAUAUGUGGUGCUAAUUAGUUGAGCUUCAAUGUGUAUAUCGAAUAAAAAAUAAAAAAAUAAUAUCAAUUAGUCUUUCUACUUAAAAAUGUGUCAUAUAAUGGUUGGAGCAACGACUUCCACAUGAAUUAUUUCAUACAAUAAUACAAGUUGAAUGGUUGAUAAUGAUUUUGGGCCAAUGUAUGUGUGUUUUCAUUGACUAUUUUGUGGUGAUAAGUAGUUGGAACUUUCAUAUUGUGGCCAACUUUUCACGUUACUAGUGUAUAUUUUAUUCCACUUAUCUCUUCUAAUAAAAGCAUGCAAUAAUGCAAAUUAAAUAAUGGAGUAAAUUAAUUGACCACAUUCAUUAAAUUGCUACACUUUCAAAAUUGUUGUUCUUCUCUUAAUUAUUUAGAUCUCUAAUUUGUUAACGAGCUAUUAGAAUAAGACUAAAUAAUUUACUCGAAUAAUUAUUGUUAACUAAGAUGGUUUGUGUUGUGAAGAAGAGAUGCAUAUGUUUUGAUAAGUAAGAUCGGCUAUGAUGGAUCUAAGGAGAGAUAUAGAUAGAUCGAGAAUAUAUUAGGAAAAAGUGAUUAGGCGGCAGGACAUGAUACAUCUUUACGUUACAAAUGACGUGACUCUAGAUAGAAAGGUAUACAAAUCGAGAAUUAGGUAAAAGUUUUGAAGAUAGUAAAUACGUGUUGUGUUGCUUUUCUUUGGAAAAGGCAUGGUAAUAGUCGUUCGGAACACCUUACUUGCUCCUUCUUUUCCACAUCAAUAUUAUUAUUAUUUUGUUCAUAUUGUUAUUGUUCUUUUCUCGUUAACAUGACCUCUUCAUUACUGUAUUUUCUUUCAAAAUUGCUUUGAAAUAUUUUACUCAAACUAGAAGUUAAAGCCUACAUACUUAUCACUCUUCCCAAUAAAAUUACACUAAAGAUAUUAUUAUAUUAUUUUUUUUAUAAACCAGACUAAAAUAAUACAUUAUUUGACAUUUUUACCUUUUUUAAAAAAUAAUUCUAAUUCUAUUUUUGAUGUAGACAAUUAUCAAGAUUUAUUUGGCCAGCAAAAGAACAAUAUUGUUUAGUGGAAAGAGAAUCUUUUAUUUUGGUCCAAACACGAAUAUACAAAAUUUAUUUAUUAUAUAUUAGCUCUUAUAAUAAACCAAAGGUCGUUUAAAGUAUCUCUCAAAGAAUAUGAUAUUAAUAAUCCCACUAACCACAUGCCUAAUGAAAUCACUCUCAAUAAUUCUUUUAUAAUAAACAUCAUUUGUUUAAUUAAUUUUUCGAUCGUAAUACUGAAAUAUUAUAAUUUAUUGAGAUGAUGAUAUAAAAACUCAGGUGAUAUAUCAAAGUGGUCGGCAUAGAUACUACUCCUAUAAUAAAUUUAUAAUUAACAAUAAUUAGGUAAAUUAAUUUUAUUUAGUUUUUUGUGAAAGAAAAAAAAACUGUUUUAGGCCUCAUCCACUGUUACAAAAACAAUCUUUAGCGACAUUAAAUAUUGACAUUAAUAAAGAGUAUUUAAGUCUUUAUCGGUAUUAGUUAAAUGUCAUUAAAAUCAAUGUCGCUAAAGACUUUAGAGACAUAUGCAAAGAGUGUCAAUUAUCGCUAAAAAUAUAUAUUUAGCGACAAUUAAGAAUUAAUUGCCAAUAAUAAUCAUUUUUGUUAUAGUAAUCUUUAGGGAUUGGCAACCUCAUAAGAUAAUAUUAUAUUACGUUAAUAUUAUUUGCAUUAUUCGUAAAGAUUGAUGAGUUGAUCCAUAUGGUUGAUUACAUCUCAUAAAUAAGAUCAAAGGAAAUAGAUUGAUUUCUCUAAUCAAUGUCAUUUUAGUCGGAUUUGUUAUAUCAUACUUUUUAAGUGAAAUUUUUAUCAUUCUGUGUGGCUUACAAAUUUUUUUAAGAAAACAAGUUUACUCAGUAUAUAUGAGUUUUCUUUGCGAUUUUAAAAAAAUUAUUUAUAUUUUAAAGUAUUUUACACAGGAAUAAAUAAAGAUUUGAUAUUAGAUAGACAUCUUCUUUUCUAAAAAAUUCAUUAAAUAUUUUUAAUAAAUUCAAUUCAAUAAAAAAAUUAUUGUUAAUAUUUUAAAAGGGAGUUAGUACUUUGACAUAUAUUGUUUACGGAUGGUGUCACAAAUAAAGUCAAAUAAACUCAUGAAUUGGACUAGUGGAGUAUUUAUUUCAACAAAAGCAAAUUCGAAUAUUUCCUCUUUCAUACAAGUAGGUAGAUCAAUGGUACAACCUACCAAGGUGUGAGACGAACUGACUUCUUAAUUUUUAAUCAGAUGUUAUAUAUAUAAAUUGUAAAAGUGAAAAAUAAUAAUUAAUAAGAGUGUUUUUCUCGUAAACAACUUUUGUACACGGCAAAUUUAAAUUUUUUCGUUGAUUUAUUUAAAUAUUUUCUCAAUAAAUCAUCAUUUAGAUUUUAUCUCUAUCUUAAAGAUACGUAAAUUAUAUCUGUUUAAACUCAUUAAGUGUUAGGUUUAGUGUGUCUACAAGUUCUAAGCUUUGAUCCAAUAUUAUCUCAUAUAAUUUUCGAUUUGCUCAAAACAUAUUUUAAUACCGUUACUAAAACGGUUCAUAAUUUAUAUAAAAAAAGAAAAGAUAACGGUCGAAUAUUUUACAAAUUAACGUAUUAAUAAAAUUUAAAUACCAGAUAAUUACUGUUGACACCCAAUUUUGACCCACGUCGGUAGAAAUUAAUUAUCGAGCUUCCUAAAUUUUCCAAAUAAUUCAGAUUAAUUAGUUUUAUAAUUUUGCAAAAAAUAUAACGAUUUAACGUUUACAUAGUGGUGUAUAUAGCCGGUAUAUCUUGUGUAUAUUCUAAACCAACCCAACUUCCCCCCAUCAGCCCACACCCCUCCUCUUCCAAGCCAGGCCCAAGUUCCCUUCAGGCCCAAACGUUCCCAAUUCUCCCACUUCUCUUCCUAAAAUCGGCCCAACACCCAAAAUUCCCCUCAACCCAACCCAAUUCAAACCCAACAUUCCCCUCAACCCAACCCAAUUCAAACCCAACCACCCAAAAACCACCCAAAAACCCGACCCAACACCUGACCCAACCCCAAUAACCCGUUUCCCCCCCCCCCCCCUUUCUUCUUCAGCCCCAUUCAAUCAACAGAAACCCAGAACAACAAACGAAACCCGGAAAACCCCCGCGUCUUCCCCACGCUCUCUCGCUCUCUCCCUCAUCUCCCCACGCUCUCGUCUCCCUCACGCGUCUCUUCCCCUACGCAACACAGCCAAUAAUUCCCAGAAAGAAACGCGACAAACUCCCCUGAAAUCGCGCGAUUCUCAGAUCGAAAAUCCCCAGAAAACAGACGCGACCUCUCCUCAUCGCGUCUCUCCCUCACGUCCUCUCUCCUCUCCUUCCCUCUCUCCCGCGUCUCCCCCACGCUCGCUCUCUCCUUCCCCUCUCGACAGAGACCCAUACCCUGCCGCUGUCGAGCAGGUCUGCAACACGCAAGUCGUCGCUGUCGAGUAGGUCUGCGAGGUGUCAAUUUCAUCCUCUCCAACACGCCUGGCCAUGUGGGUUUUGACCCAAAGGGAUUUCGAUUUUGAGUUCAAAAAAUGGGCGAAAAAUCGUAUCACCGACCCUACAUAAACCCCUCCCAUCUUCAUAAAAGAGGAGGGUUUUUUUUCACGAAAGAGGGGGAUUUUUUCAUCGAAAUUCGAAAAAAGUAGAACUUGGGUUGGACAUUUGGUCAAAAUUAAGGCUGAAUCUUUGGUCGAAACUUUUGGAAGCAAUUUGAGGUUGGAGAUUUCUGGACGAGAAGAAACUGUUUCGUCGAGUGUCGUUGCGACGUUCUUGUUCGAGCGAGCGAAGCAGAGGGUGAUUUCGAGUUCGUGAUGGUGGUGCUCCGCCUGCUCGCUGUCCCUGUUUCGCUGCACUUAAAGAGGUAACACCCAUCUUGACCCUCGACUCUUAGUUGUAUUUGUUGUUUGUACGUUAGUGUUUAGGUUGGUCCUAGCUGCUGUGAAUUUGUUGUAUUGCAGAAGUUGUUUGAAAUUUGUGGUUUUGUCUUGUCUUCGCUUGAUUUUGUCGCAACUUCCUGAAUUUGAUAAAGUUUUAAAGGGAAUGAACGGUGUGUUUGGGGUAUUUCGAUCCGCCGAGUCUGUUUCUGCUCGUUUCCUGCUUCUUCCUCCUGUUUGUAUUCGUACAUGAAUUAGUCUAAGGGAAUCCUUCGUUAUUCUGCUUAUAAUGAGUUGUAGAUGUUACCCGUUUGGUCGAAGUGAAAUCCAAUUUCACUUCAAACUCUUCUGUCAUCAUCUUUAUUGUUAUUUCUUCUUUUGUUUUUCUUUCACUUUGAUGUCAAACUGAUGUGAUGAUGGGUUCGACAGAAGCGAAGUAGUGCAUUGAAUGAUAAUAGUGAUGUCUUAUUUUGGAGUUUUGUCCUUUUUCUUUGUUGUUAGUUCGACAAGUCAAAUUUUAAAUUCAAAGAUUGCCAUAUACAUGCCUUGUUCUGUGAAAUUGAAAGUUCAUUGUUUGGUUGGGUAAGUAAAAUCGCCUCAAUAUAGUUAUUUACCUUGGGUCGACUCGCAUUUGUCAUUACUUUUCUCUUCUGUCGUCUCUUUCAUGUUGCGCUAGUCUGACCUUUCUUGUUACAUGUUGUCGUGUGUCUAUUGAUCCGAUUAGAUACUAUCCAUGGAUAUGCAUUUUCUAUUAAGUUAGUUUGUUUUCUUGUAUAUGUGCCCGUUGAAUCGAAUAUUAAUUCCUUUUGUUUAUUGUGUGGCAUGUAAAAUCCGUUUGAGUUCACCACGAACUCUCCUUCUCCGUAUCUCGAGAGAGUCGUAAAGACUCAUAGUCUUUUACCAAGCAAGACAACCUUAAGAGAGGCGUACAAGUCAUGAAGUUGGAAGGAGAAUCCAAAGUGGAUUAGAAGACGUUUCUUUAUUUUAUUUCCGUAUUUUAUUUUGUAAUGGGCAUAAGCCCUUGUCAUUUUCCUUUCCUUAUUCCUCUUAUAUUUUAUCUUGUAAUGUUUAGACUAGGACAGGUGGCAAAAUGGGUCGAAACACCCAAAAACAGGUGGGUCCAAAACUCGGUCAAGGUGAACAGUACCCGAGUUUGGACCCAAAAAUCUCUCUCUCUCUCUCUCCUUAUUACUUGCUUAUGUGCGUUGUUUAAAGUAUCGUUAGUGUUAGGACUAGAAAAAUCCAAAUCUCCUUCGAAACGCCUUUCUAUUUUAUCAAGCUAAAACUAAGUCUUAAAAUAUUGGACGUUUCAAAUUCACUAGUUCGUUUAGAGUUUAAAAUUUAAAAAGUUUAACUUUAAAAGAAUCUCAAAAACAAUAAGUAUUUCAACUUUUAGAUUUGUCCAAAUAAAACUCUAAUAAAGGUUCAACUUCAAAUUCGCAAAAGGUUAAAAAGUAGUCAAAUAAGUUAAUCGUCGGAAAACCGUAUUUAACGGAGUGUCUUAGGUGCCUUACACCUUCCUAAGACACUAAUAAGAAUCCCGAACCCUUAAAAAAUGUUUCAAAACAAUUGUUCUGUUUAGGUUGUUUAGAAACAAAGUUUUCUUGAUUUUUCUUAAAAAUUAAGUGGCGACUCCUAAAAGUCGAAAAACAAACUCUUUUCGAAAAUCACCCCCUUUUUUCGGUAAAACAGAAAUGGCGACUCCGCUGGGGACUUGGAGGAUUCUAACCUUAAGAUUAACGUAUUUGAUUAUUUGUGAUUAACUGUUUAAGUGUUUAAAUUAAUUAGAUUUUUUAAACUGUUGCAUACAUAGCAUACAUACUUCCGUCAAACGACACUUUUUUACAUUUUCACUAAAGGACGAUUAUGCGGGUUCGCAGUCAUUCGUUAACCAAAAAUCUUCUCGGGGCACCCUGACGAGUGUAGUUGAUUACUUGAUAGUCAACGAUCGUUAAUUGUCCCAGCCCAAGUAGUCCGCUUGGGUUACCCAUUCCACUUUAAAUAUAACCCACUCUUAGUCAAACUAGGAUAGAGCGAAACCAAAUCCCGAAAAUAGUGCAUUGGCCUAGGAUGACCCGACACCCAAGGAGUGUCGGGCCCAUUAGAAAAGUCCACCUUGAGUCCAAAGAGCCUGCGGCUCGAUAGGACGCUCAUGUUUGUUGUUUAAAUUUGAAGGAUGUAUUGCGUGUUUAACUAGUUGUUGUAUCGGGGGGAUUGAAAUUAACUAGUUGUAUGUUUUUGUAGAUGUCAAGUCAGUUCCUUCACUUCAAAAUGGUCACCCAGGCAUCCGACAUUCUUCGAAUAUGGUGGGGCAAUCUUAAGGAGUGUCAAAAGAGAGAAAUCUCGAUUUACUUGGGUCACCUACCUUCGAUAAUGGAUUUCAAGGUAUGGCCCACGUUUAUCGAGGUCAUCACCCGAUUUUGGGACGAUAAGAAGAUGGUCUUUCGAUUUGGAGAUGUCGAAAUAACACCCACACUAGAAGAGAUCAAAGAUUGCCUUGACUCGAUUGGGACGUGUGGCAAAAGGAAAAAGCGUCCCGAUCAUCACAUUCUCUUACCAGAUAGGCCAACCAAGAACGAAUUGAGAGAUAUGCUAUUCCUAGUGAAUGCAGAUUGGUUAGAGACCAACGACAUUCCGCUGAUGAGGUUUUUCGAGAGGUGGGGGCACGACAAUUAUUUUAGAUUGUUCCCGGACGAAUUUCAUGAUCACAGUACUUGGAGGCAAACUCAAGCUAUCGCUUUCUCCGCAUGCCUCUUGGGAACUAUGGUGUUCCCUAAAGACGAAGGUAAAGAGAUCGACACCCGGGUAAUAAUGGUAGUGAAUGCCAUGUUCAGAGGAGUCGGUAGAAAAUCUGAAGAAAAGAAAUAUUGCUGUUUGGCCCCAGUCAUCCUGUCCGACAUUUACCGAUCUUUGAGCCUGUGCAAGAAUGGUUUUCCGUUUUUCCAAGGUUGCAACAUCUUACUUCAAUGGUGGUUGACGGAGCAUCUAUGCAAAAGAGACAACCCCCAGCUACAGGGUUUGGCCGAACCAAGUCAAACAAGUCCUCUCGAUAAUUAUGAGUUCUACUUGAGUAUCCGUAAAUUUCCAAUUCACACCACCAGGGAUGCGUGGGCAAAGGUGUUUUACAAUUUGAAAGAAGGAGACAUACAAUGGGUAUUACCGAGCUUCAGGUCUCAGAUGAUAGCAGCACAAGGGGCCAAAUUGCCAUUUUUAGUCCUUCCCGGCAUCAGAGGAUUGCGUCCUUACAACCCGACACGAGUAAUGCGGCAAUUUGGGAAAGUCCAAAUCAUACCCGCCCAAGGAGAUGCCAGCUCUUUCAUUGUUGAUUACAACGAGAAGGACAAAAUACCUUUCGCUAAAAUUAUCCUCCAGGAAUGGGCCGGACGCGUCAACAUGAAGCGGGAGGUCACCGAAGACAGGUAUGGAGCUGGGUAUAUCGACGAAUACAAGACAUGGUUGCACAAAGAUUUGCGUGGUGUAGUGGAUCCAACACCACGCACGAGUCGGAAAAUCGAAGAUGUGGAGACAAGGCUUCAGAUUCACGCGUACCAUUUUCAGCAAGAGUGGGACCGAAGGGAGCAGGAAUUCUAUAAGAAAGAACAGGAAUUUCAACAAAAAGAGCAAGCAUACCAACUCCGGGAAUUAGAAAAUCAGAGAGUUUUGGCCGUAAUGUCACAAGAAUUAGCUGACACAAGGACUUGUCUAAUGCGUUUGGACACUGUUUUGGACGAGCAGAUGAACACCUUACAAGCCGUACCAACAUCUUCCAAAGCUGCGUUCGCUGAGCCAUACGUGUUCACCAGCAAAUGCAUUAUCCGAGAAGAAGUGGAGAAGGCCAGAAGAGGAGCUGGAUCAUCGACCUUUUAACUCCCCUGCGUGGGAUUGAUUUUAUAUGUGUAUUUGCACUACAUCCCCUUCCCAAGAUAUAUCCCGUUUAAUUUUGAUUGUGUAAUGAACGCUAUGACAUCUAGUGAAAUUUGUUUCGGGGGUACAAUUACUUAUUUAAAUGGCGCAAUACAUCCUUCAGAUCGCUAGGCCUACCCUUGGCACAAAAGGGUCACAUGCAUGUUUAGGACACGAUAUAUUUGUUUAAAUGUUUAUGUGUUAUGUUGCUUUGAUUGAGGAUAUCGUAAACCCACUCCUAGCCAAAAUCCUAAAGAGUAUACAGAAGCCAACAUUACAAUUGUCCGACCAAAAUUCCCGAGUCUCAAGUUUCUCACACAAAAUCCAUACCAUAAAUCCUAAAUACCGCUCUAUCAUCUCAGGAAAGUUGAAUCACCGCUAUGGACAAAGGCAAGAACGUCCAGACGGAGCUCACUGAGGAGGAAUUGCGAAGAAAGAUCGAGCGAGUCACUCGAGAGAUUCAGAGGGUUAAGGAGGAAGGACUCAAAGUAGACGCGACCACGGCGAUCUACAAAGCUGCGGUCACAACAUUGGAUGAAGAUCUGGCGUCACAGAUAAAGAGAAAGAAGGAGGUUGAGAUGGAAACCGAAAGCCUAAGGAAAAGGUUGAACUUGCUUCGUUUGGAGAUACACGAAGGAAAGGCGAGAGAGGCGAAGAUAGAUAUCGAGACUGCUGUGUUGUUGGACAGAAACGCGGCGCUCGACGAGGAAUUGGCGACCCAUAGCGACCCAAAGGGCGGAAAAUACCUCGCCCAUGAUCUGGGAGCAGAUAACAGUGGCCCCGACCGUGAAGUGACUGAGGAGGAUGAUGAAGAAGAAAUAGUCUACAAGCCUCCAUUUCCGACUGUCUGAAAGGAAAGGAAUGACGCAGCCACAAGACACGAAAUCUCCGAAUGUGGUCUUCUAGAAAUCUCAAUGUUGUUUUUCAAUUCCCUUGUAAUCACAACGAAAGAAUGAAUGGAAAAUUUUCAUCCUAAAAUCCGAACUACGUUGGGCCUGAAUUCUCCCCGUGAGAUACGUAGGCAGCCUUCCCGGCCCGGCCCCUAUCACAGAAAAUUUUCAUUCUCCUCCAUGUUUCGGAGAUACGAAGAUAAGAUCAACGGACGUCGCAAAGCAGCUGCAAGAAGACCAUAGCUCAACGUGAUUCAGAUUUCCCAAGAUAGCGCCAAACAAACAAAUUCCUGUUUGUUCAAAAUAUAUAUCCGUCCUUAUUCGUGGGUUAAGAUAUCCUCAAACAAAACGACUUGUGUGCUUAUCUGUUUUAUGUGCGAUAUUAUGCAUUUUGUACUCUGGAUAUGCACUAACAAAUUUGCCUUUGAGUUGUUUUUACCUCUCAGGUACCUUUUUACUGAUCUGUGUCAAUAAAGCUAGCAGAUCAUCCUUACUUCACCAGAUCGAAAGGUCCUACAGAUUCCUUCCCUCGAUCAAAUUCAGACAAAGGAAAAACAGUUAUGGGAGACAACAAUGACGAAGGGCAUCUUACUGACGUUGUGGUGGCUCAGCCCACUGUAGUGGAACAGAACGAAUUGAUCAUGCAGCUGAUGCAACAGAUUGCUGAAAUGAAAGUUGAAAUGCAACGGAGACAGGAUGCGCCUCCACCUGGAUUUGGUACUAAUAUUGCUGAUGCAAGACCUCCGGUCUACUUCCCUUCAUCAAACAUAGAUCCAACUCAGAACCAGCCUUCUACACCUGUGCAUAAUCCGUCUGUGAUUGACCUCACAACCCAAAACCCUCAAUACGCUUCUGCAUCUUACCAAACUCCUUCACCUCUUCCAAAUAACCACCCUCAAAUACCACCCCAUCCUCAGAAUACUCAAACUGCCCCACUGCCACAAAAUCAAAACCAAACUCAAACUGCCUUCAAUACCCAAGCAUUUCAUCCGCAUUUGAGUCAGAACACCAAUCCUCAGGCCUACCCACAAAACUACCAGACCGCCCAAAACAUUCCAAGUCCCUCUAUAGCUCCGCCCCUACCAAAAAGAGCCACCUUCCAAGUUCCCGUUCCUGCCGAGCACGAGGUGCACGGUUCUGAGUUGGAUCACUAUGAAGAACAGGAAAGAGAAUGGAAGGCGAAAGAAGAAGUGAAGAUCGAUAUAAAGGAAGAAAUCAAAAGGGCUAUGAAAGAGCUGCAGUGCAUCCCAGACGCCGUCGGACUUAGCUACGCAGAAUUGUGCAUCCAUCCAGAUUUGAACCUUCCCGAAGGUUUUAAAAUUCCGAAGUUUGACACCUUCGGAGGAGUGGGCAAUCCUAUGGCGCAUUUGAGAGCGUAUUGUGACCAGCUCGUGGGAGUUGGCAGGGAUGAGGCCUUGUUGAUGCGGCUUUUCAGCCGAAGUCUGUGUGGAGAGGCCCUCGAGUGGUUUACUUCACAUGAAACCAGGCAGUGGCCCAGUUGGAAUGCAUUGGCUAAGGACUUCAUUGACCGAUUCGCCUACAAUGUUGAAAUAGUGCCCGAUCGGUAUUCUCUAGAGAAGAUGAAGCAGAAACCAACUGAAAGCUAUAGGGAAUUUGCCUAUAGGUGGAGGAAAGAAGCGGCGAGGGUAAGGCCACCCAUGACCGAGAAAGAGAUUGUGGAAGUGUUCGUGCGGGUACAGGAGCCUGAGUACUAUGAUCGAAUCAUGUUGCUGGUCGGAGCUAAAUUCGCUGAGAUAGUCAAAGUCGGUGAGACUAUCGAAGAUGGUCUAAAAUCGGGGAAGAUAGCCCGUGUAUCUGCGUCGCCUGGGUCUUCAGGAUUGAUAAGAAAGCGAAGAGAGGAAGUUGCCGCUGUCUCGUAUGGGGGAAGAAAAACCCCUAGAAACCCGUCACAUUCCCAAGAUCGUUCCAGGCCUUCCCCAAAGUCCCACCGAUCCAACUACCCACAACCCAAUCAUCCUAAUAACCACAAUACUGUCCCCACCUAUCAGAAUGCUCAAAUUUCGUCGUACCAAAGUACACCCUCUAAUCUCCAAAAUUUUUCUCCCAUAUACCCAAAUUACCCUCAACCAUACCAGAUCCCAUCCCCUUAUCAGAAUAUUGCUCCCAACUGUGCCAACGUACAGUCGAGCUACCGACCACCUCCGCCCACUUAUCAAGUCCAAGCUCCAUUAUACCAGGACCCCCUCCCGAAUUACCAAGCUCCAAUGCCAAAUUUCCAGGCAAACCCUUAUCCCGGAGCCAAGCUCCUCGUACAAAUACCCAAAUUAUCAGCGGGUGCCUCCCCCUCGGCAAAGCGGUUAUGAUACUUCCCGUCCGAGAUUUGAAAAAAGGCCUUCAAGGAACUUUACCACACUUGCUGAAAGCUGGACCAAACUAUUUGAGAGGCUAGCCGCAGAUGGAUACAUCCACCCUGUGGGGCCCAAACCCGGGGAUGUCAACUCAAAGUUCUACAGGCCAGAUCAAAGGUGUGCUUAUCAUUCCAACAGUGUUGGACAUGACACGGAAGAUUGCAUCAACCUUAAGCACAAAAUCCAAGACCUGAUCGAUCAGGAGGUAGUUUCUCUUCAACCGGCAGUGCCAAACGUCAACACAAAUCCGUUGCCGAAUCAUGGAGGUGACAACCUUAAUAUGAUUGAAACGGAUGAAGACGGGUGUGGAACAAAGAUGAUUACCCCUAUUAUGCAUGAGGACUUGGAAAGGGCUGUCGCUUCUUUAAGCGUCAAAGAAAGGAGGAAGUUUGUUAUUCUGACACCUGCAAAGGCUGUUGCCUUGGUGCCUUCGAAAACCCUCGUUAAGCCCAAAUUUGUCAUUGAAACUGCCGUGGCCCAAGGCAUGACCAGGUCCGGAAGGUGCUACACUCCUGAUGAGCUUGCUCUCGGAGGACAGAAGAAGGACCAUGCUAAGAGGCCGAUAAGCGAGGGGGAAGCAGAAGAAUUCUGGAGAAGGAUGCAACCGAAGGACUAUUCCAUCGUCAAACAUUUAGAGAAGACUCCGGCUCAGAUCUCCGUGUGGGCCCUGCUGAUGAGCUCUCAGUCCCACAGGCAGGCCUUAAUGAAAGCUCUUGAUGAUACAUACGUACCCUCAGGUACAAGUAGUGAUAACGUGGCCGCUAUGAUUCAUCAAGUCAUUCGGGGGCACCGGAUCAGCUUUUGUGACGAUGAGUUGCCAGUCGAAGGAAGAUCCCACAACAAAGCGCUACACAUUACCGUGAUAUGUCGUGGAAAGGUUGUCAACUGUGUUUUGGUAGAUGAUGGGUCCGGUUUGAAUAUUUGCCCAUUGACGACGUUGAGGCAACUAAAUUUUGACCUUGGGAAACUGGAGCAGAAUCAGGUCAAUGUAAGGGCAUUUGAUGGUGUGCAAAGAGACACCUUGGGGGCUGUGACUUUGACCCUUCAAAUGGGCCCCGCAGAGUUCAGUGCGCAAUUCCAAGUAUUGGACAUAGACACUAGCUACAACCUUCUUUUGGGAAGGCCGUUUAUCCACAUGGCUGGAGCCGUCCCCUCUACUCUCCAUCAGAUGAUGAAACUUGUGUGGAAAAAUGAAGAGUUAGUGAUUCACGGCGAGGGAAGUCGCUCGGGCAAGCAGGUGUCGGUCAUUGAUGAGAUGCCGCAAGGCGCAGACUUUUACACGGUGGAGCUGGUGAAUGCCACCAACGAAGAUUUGGCCCUCAACUCCAUGCCAACCGUGUACAAAAUGAUAGCCACGGUGAUGCUGCAAAAUGGGUUCGAGCCAGGUUUCGGAUUGGGAAGAGAUUCCCAAGGAAUUAUUGAGCCUGUUCCGGUCCUUGCUCAGGGGUCAAAGUAUGGUUUGGGGUACAUCCCCACAGAUGAUGAUAUGAAGAUGAAGAGGAGGAGGGAUCAAGAGUUGACUAAGCCGAUCCCGCAUCUCUAUCACUCCUUUCCAGUUCGGGAGCACGCCGAGCCUGAAGACGACGGGGAAGGAAUCUGUGACCUGUUCAAGGAGAUCAAUGCCGUCAUAGAGGAGGAGGCUGAGCCAGCUGGCUUUCGCGAUGCUGAACCGGGGGAGAUGCUGAAGAAUUGGACGUCCACACCAAUCCUGAUGUCCCGGACUUUUGGGUAGAAAGGAAUUAUUUUGUGCAUGCCAAAAUCGGUGGUCGUUCGGAAGAGGCCCGAGACCCACCAUUUCUGCAUUUUCUUGAUUUUGAAUUUUGUUAUGAUUGUUUAAAGGGCGACGUGGCCUUGUGCCAUGACCCAACUUUGCAUCUUGAUUCAAUUUAAAUGAAAGCCUCCUUAUUUUGACUUUGUUUAUUCGAUUGCUUGUUAUAUUUUACUUUUCUAAUUUUGUCUGUUUAUGAUUUCAGUAACGUAAGUUACAAACCUGCCAACGUCAUGUCAUGUCAUGAGCUAAACGAACAAAAUGAGGUAAAUGACGAUGAGGCUGACGACUACGACGAAGAAAGUGGGGAACCAGACUAUGUAGUAGAAGAGUUUCGACAGUUCGAGAAUCAACAUAAACCGAAUCUGGAGGAAACAGAGACGGUAAAUUUGGGAGAUUCAGAAUGUGUCAAAGAGGUUAAGAUCAGCACUCACCUGAAUGAAACUCAGAAGGAGAGCCUGAUUCAUUUGCUUGCCGAAUACAGCGAUGUGUUUGUUUGGGAGGUCAGUGACAUGCAGGGGCUGAGUACCGAUGUCGUAUCUCAUAAGCUGCCUAUCAACCCAGGGUUCGAGCCAGUGAAGCAAAAGACUCGGAAAUUCAAGCCUGAGUUGAGUUUGAAGAUUAAGGAGGAAAUCACCAAGCAGAUAGAGUCCCGGUUGGUAGAAGUAACGCAAUAUCCCACCUGGUUGGCGAAUGUCGUUCCGGUCGCCAAGAAAGAUGGAAAAAUCAGGAUUUGCGUUGAUUACAGAGAUCUCAACAAGGCUAGUCCAAAGGAUAAUUUCCCGUUGCCAAAUAUCCAUAUUCUGAUUGAUAACUGUGCCAAACAUGAGAUGCAGUCAUUUGUGGAUUGUUACGCGGGUUAUCACCAGAUUCUGAUGGAUGGAGAAGACGCGGAGAAAACGGCCUUCAUCACACCUUGGGGGUAUAUCACUACAGGGUGAUGCCGUUUGGGCUCAAAAACGCCGGUGCCACUUACAUGAGAGCCAUGACGACUAUCUUCCACGACAUGAUUCACAAGGAAAUUGAAGUGUACGUGGACGACGUCAUAAUUAAAUCCCGCGAGAGUUCGGAUCAUUUGACACACCUGCGAAAAUUCUUUGAACGUUUGCGUAGGUACAACUUGAAGCUAAAUCCCGCCAAGUGUGCUUUUGGAGUCCCAGCUGGGAAAUUGUUAGGGUUUAUAGUCAGCAGAAGAGGUAUUGAGCUCGACCCUUCCAAGAUCAAAGCAAUUCAGGAGUUACCUCCGCCGAAGACGAGAAAAGAGGUGAUGAGCUUCUUAGGGAGGUUAAACUAUAUCAGCCGGUUUAUAGCACAAUCGACGGUGGUAUGUGAGCCUAUCUUCAAGUUGCUGAAGAAAGAUGCCCCAACUAAGUGGACUGAGGAGUGCCAGACCGCUUUCGACGCUAUCAAGAGCUACUUGUCUAACCCACCAGUAUUGGUUCCUCCGCGAGAAGGGAGUCCUUUGUUGCUAUAUUUGUCUGUCUCGGAUAACGCCUUUGGAUGUGUACUUGGUCAACACGACGAGACAGGGAAGAAGGAAAAGGCUAUCUACUACAUCAGCAAGAAGUUUACUCCGUACGAGUCUCGUUACACUUUGCUGGAAAGAACAUGCUGUGCUCUGACAUGGCUUGCCCAGAAGCUGAGGCACUAUUUGUCUUCGUAUACUACAUAUCUUAUCUCCAGGAUGGAUCCAUUGAAGUAUAUUUUCCAGAAAGCGAUGCCGACCGGGAAGCUGGCUAAAUGGCAAAUGCUGUUGAGUGAGUUUGACAUCGUGUACGUGACUCAGAAGGCAAUAAAAGCACAAGCUUUGGCUGAUCAUCUUGCGGAAAAUCCCGUUGAUGAAGAGUAUGAACCUCUCAAGACAUAUUUUCACGAUGAAGAAGUGUCAUUUGUGGGUGAAGAUAUCUCUGAAGUUUAUCCAGGUUGGAGAUUAUUCUUUGAUGGAGCGGUGAAUCACCAGGGUAAAGGUGUUGGAGCAGUCUUGGUAUCAGAAUCUGGUCAGCACUAUCCUAUGGCGGCUAAGCUACGGUUCAACUGCACAAACAACAUGGCUGAGUAUGAAGCUUGCAUUCUCGGUUUGAAAAUGGCCGUUGACAUGAAUGUUUACGAGUUACUGGUUAUUGGAGAUUCAGACCUCUUGAUCCAUCAGGUUCAAGGAGAAUGGGCUGUGAAGAACCCAAAGAUUGUACCUUAUGUACAAUAUGUGCAAAACCUGUGUAAAAGGUUUCGCAAGAUCGAGUUCAGACAUACUCCCCGAAUACAGAAUGAAUUAGCUGAUGCUCUUGCCACCAUCGCUUCAAUGAUCAAACAUCCAGAUAUUGAUUACAUCGACCCGCUGGAUAUAGAUUUGAAGGAGCAUCCAGUCCAUUGUUCACACGUGGAAUCAGAACCAGAUGGUUUGCCUUGGUAUUUCGACAUAAAGAGGUAUUUGGAGUCUGGGACAUAUCCAGAAGACGCCACAUCUAAUCAAAAGAAGUCGAUACGUCGUAUGGCUCUCAAUUUCUUUUUGAAUGGAGAAGUCCUUUACAGGAGGACUCCAGAUUUGGGUCUUUUGAGAUGCGUGGAUGCUGCUGAAGCCGUGAGGCUUAUUGAACAGAUACAUGCUGGAGUCUGUGGCACACAUAUGAACGGGCUUACCUUGGCAAGAAAAGUCCUUCGAGCCGGUUACUUCUGGAUGACUAUGGAGAACGACUGUUGCAAAUUCAUGCAAAAAUGCCAUAAAUGUCAAGUGCACGGAGAUUUGAUAAGGGUGCCACCUCACGAACUCAAUGCUAUGAGUUCACCUUGGCCAUUUGUAGCUUGGGGAAUGGAUGUCAUCGGUCCUAUAGAACCGGCCGCUUCCAAUGGACACAGAUUUAUUUUGGUUGCCAUCGAUUAUUUCACCAAAUGGGUGGAAGCAGCCUCUUACAAAUCGGUAACCAAGAAAGUGGUGGCCGACUUUGUCCGCAACAAUUUGAUCUGCCGAUUUGGAGUUCCAGAAUCCAUCAUCACUGAUAACGGUGCAAAUCUCAACAGUCAUCUGAUGAAAGAGAUAUGUGAACAAUUUAAGAUUAUCCACCGAAGGUCAACUGCUUAUCGCCCUCAAAUGAACGGAGCUGUAGAGGCCGCCAACAAGAACAUCAAGAAGAUUCUGAGGAAAAUGAUUGACAAGCAGCGGGGUUGGCAUGAAAUGUUGCCAUAUGCUCUACUGGGUUAUCGAACGACGGUCAGAACAUCAACUGGGGCUACUCCAUACUUGCUAGUAUACGGAACAGAAGCAGUCGUACCUGUCGAAGUCGAGAUACCGUCACUGAGGAUCAUCCAAGAAGCUGAGCUAAGUAAUGCUGAGUGGGUUAGCAAACGGAUUGAUCAACUAGCCUUGAUUGAUGAAAAGAGGAUGGUUGCUGUUUGUCAUGGCCAGUUGUAUAGACAAAGAAUGACUCGCGCUUUUCACAAAAGAGUAAGAGCCAGAAAUUUUGAAGUUGGUCAGUUGGUUCUUAAGCGUAUUUUUCCUCAUCAAGACGAGUACAAAGGAAAGUUCGCACCAAACUGGCAAGGUCCUUACAUGGUCCGCAAAGUACUAUCUGGAGGUGCUUUAGUCUUGUCAGAGAUGGAUGGCGCUGUGUGGCCCAAACCUAUCAACUCAGAUGCUGUCAAGAGAUAUUACGCGUGAAGUUCGUUUUGCAUUUCCCAUCAUUUACUUGUAAUCUUCUGUUUGCUUGUAUUUGUUCGAACUUGAAUUCUUAUCCCUCUUGUAACGAACUACGUCUGACCUGAAUUCUCGAGAAUGAGAUACGUAGGCGGCCUAUGUCGGCUUCGGUCACCCCAUUUACCCCCUUUACUAUUUCUUUGUACCUGAACUACGUUCGACCUGAAUUCUCAAGAAUGAGAUACGUAGGCGGCCUUUGUCGGCUUCGGUCGGUUUCUUUGUAAAUUUUAUUCUUGUUAACCUUUAAGGGGAACUACGUUUGACCUGAUUCCUGCCUCAACGGGAUACGUAGGCGCCACAAGGGCUCGGUCAUACCUCUCGUAAGAUUUCUAUUUCCCCCUUCUACAAUAGAAACUGGGACAAAAUUUUUGAGAGGGACUCAAAAAUUCUCCAAAAGGAACCUUCUCCUCAGCGGAUCAAACUAAAGACAUUUCGAGUUUGCGACUGGGACAGAAUUUUUGAGAAGAUCUCAAAAAUUCCGAGAUUUGUUCGGUUACAAUGGAAAGAUGAACAAGAUACUAAACUGGGACAGAAAUUUUGAGGAUGGCCUCAAAAUUUCGUCAUGGGACUUCCCCACAAGUCCGGAAUGCCUCUGAAAUUCAUUCGACAAGCGUCGGACUCAAAGAAGCUCGUUAAGCCUGACAUGACAUGACUUGGCAUUGACUUUUUCGAGAUACUAUUUCUUAAAAAAUUUCUUGCUUCUCUUAAAAAUUUCCCUUUUAUAUUUCAUCUGUUUUGGCAUAAGAUAUUUUCUUAUCUAUCAAGAGUCGGGAAAUCGAGAAAUCAACCGAGGACGUCAAGACAAGGAGCAAACAAUCGAAGGGAUCGACACAGAUCAGUAUGUUUAAAACUGACAAUUUUUCUGUGGAUGCAGGUUUAUAGCUUCACUUCGAAAUCGGCCGAAUUCUUCCGACUGAUGAAUACGGAGAAGGAGAAAACUAUCUCCAAAGCCGGUGAUUUUAUUGAAAGCAAGAAGCAUUUCAUAUCUUUAUGCCAAGAUGCUUGUGAAUGUGUUUGUUUAUUUCAAGCCAUUCCCCAAUACAUGAAAUUUACAAAGUGCCUGGCCUGAUUCAAAGGUAGAUCAAAAGGAAUCUUAGCGAAGAUUUCACGAUUUCUAUAGAAGACGCUAUUUGCAUCGCGUUAUCAAAGCAAGAUGAUUAUUGUCGAUCAAGACAAUGCAUUACCUCAGAAGAGACAGCUAUGCAAUUAUUAUUUUUAUCAUUAUCGAUCAAGUCGAUAUAUUAUUUGGAGGUCGUCUUGCCGUUACUAUUCACGGGGGUAAUAUAAAUAAUUAUGUACGACGAGAAGAUUUCAUGCCUCGUCGGAAUUUAUACAUCGCGAGAAGAAUUUAUGCCUCGCUGGAAUUCAUGCAUCGCGGAAUCAUGCAUCGCGGAAAUCAUGCAUCGCGAGUCAAUAAUCAUGCAUGACGAGAAGAUUUCAUGCCUCGUCGAAAUUUAUACAUCGCGAGAAGAAUUUAUGCCUCGCUGGAAUUCAUGCAUCGCGGAAUCAUGCAUCGCGGAAUCAUGCAUCGCGGAAAUCAUGCAUCGCGAGUCAAUGAUCAUGCAUGACGAGAAGAUUUCAUGCCUCGUCGAAAUUUAUACAUCGCGAGAAGAAUUUAUGCCUCGCUGGAAUUCAUGCAUCGCGGAAUCAUGCAACACGGAAAUCAUGCAUCGCGAGUCAAUAAUCAUGCAUGACGAGAAGAUUUCAUGCCUCGUCGAAAUUUAUACAUCGCGAGAAGAAUUUAUGCCUCGCUGGAAUUCAUGCAUCGCGGAAUCAUGCAUCGCGGAAAUCAUGCAUCGCGAGUCAAUGAUCAUGCAUGACGAGAAGAUUUCAUGCCUCGUCGAAAUUUAUACAUCGCGAGAAGAAUUUAUGCCUCGCUGGAAUUCAUGCAUCGCGGAAUCAUGCAUCGCGGAAAUCAUGCAUCGCGAGUCAAUAAUCAUGCAUGAUGAGAAGAUUUCAUGCCUCGUCAAAAUUUAUACAUCGCGAGAAGAAUUUAUGCCUCGCUGGAAUUCAUGCAUCGCGGAAUCAUGCAUCGCGGAAAUCAUGCAUCGCGAGUCAAUAAUCAUGCAUGACGAGAAGAUUUCAUGCCUCGUCGAAAUUUAUACAUCGCGAGAAGAAUUUAUGCCUCGCUGGAAUUCAUGCAUCGCGGAAUCAUGCAUCGCGGAAAUCAUGCAUCGCGAGUCAAUGAUCAUGCAUGACGAGAAGAUUUCAUGCCUCGUCGAAAUUUAUACAUCGCGAGAAGAAUUUAUGCCUCGCUGGAAUUCAUGCAUCGCGGGAUCAUGCAUCGCGGAAAUCAUGCAUCGCGAGUCAAUAAUCAUGCAUGACGAGAAGAUUUCAUGCCUCGUCGAAAUUUAUACAUCGCGAGAAGAAUUUAUGCCUCACUGGAAUCAUGCAUCGCGAAAAUCAUGCAUCGCGAGUCAAUAAUCAUGCAUGACGAGAAGAUUUCAUGCCUCGUCGAAAUUUAUACAUCGCGAGAAGAAUUUAUGCCUCGCUGGAAUUCAUGCAUCGCGGAAUCAUGCAUCGCGGAAAUCAUGCAUCGCGAGUCAAUAAUUAUGCACGACGAGAAGAUUUCAUGCCUCGUCAAAAUUUAUGCACGACGAGAAGAAUUCAUGCCUCGUCAAAAUUUGCACAUCGCAAGAAGAUUUUAUUCUUCGCUGAAAGUUAUGCAUCGCGAGAAGAUUCAUAUCUCGCGGGAAUUUACGUAUCGCGGGAAGAUAUUCAUGGCCCGCAAGAGGACGUACUUGGAUAAAGAAAGAGCAAUACUCAUCCAUUGGCCUCGACUGCAUUCUGUCAUUUCUUAUAAAAAUAAACAUCAUGGAGAGCAUCGAAGAUGACAACAAAAGAAGCAUCAAUGUCGCAUCAGCAUUUAUUUAUUUAUUUCAACAUCAAGUAUGGAAUACAUUGAAGAUGAUAUUGCAAAAUACAAGGCAUAAGCUUUAUUUGCUGGACGUCAGACCGAUCGAGUCGACGUCGAACAUGGAAGAGAACAAUGAAGUGUCGACAUGGUAAAAGACACUGUCUCCCAUCCUAAUUGCAUUUUAAGCUGACGAGUUUUAUCUCAGUCUUUGUCGAGAGCAUCCAAAAGGAUGAAUUCUCCAAAAAUCACAGGUGCGGACGACAUCAAAAAGGAUGCAGCACAACGUGGAACUUUUUCUUAGCAGCGAACUGGGACAUAGUCCAAAGAGGAAUGUAAAACUCUUAGGACGCGAGCAGAGGAGCGACUUCCACUACAAUCGAACCACCCUCUCGAGGCUUACGGGUUUUCUCUAGUUCUGUCAGUUUCUGUCUCGCUUUCGAAAGUUUUGUUUUACCGGAAGCAAGUUUCCAAUCUGAGUGACAAUACGCCAAAAGAGUUGGAAAUUAUGUCCGUGUAAGUUCUUAAUUAUGGGUGUGAAGCGCGCCACAUUCAUGGCUAAGAGGUUACAAGCCUCUUUUUUUCAUACUCGUUUAAUGUGUCACUCGUCCAAAACCGAAGGUUAGCUAGCAUAAUAGUUUUCCUUUUCCAACGAUCGAGUCGAACUACACACAGCCUGAUUCCGAAGGUUUAAGGGUAUGUAGGCGGAUUCAAUGUUGAAAACUCGGCUGUAUUCCAACAUUCGCUCUCGAAUUCUAUUCUCGAGCAUUUCGAUACCUUCAUAAUUCGGUGUCGAGGUGGCUUUUGAUUCUUUGAAAUCGUGCGGUAAAUCAAGCUUAUCGAACUACAAGUGGCCUGAAUUCUCAUAUAGCUUGAGAUAUGUAGGAGACCCGUUUGCAAGGGUUCGGCCAUGAUUCCUAAACUCUUUGUCAAAUCCUUCUUCUUAAAAGCGAAUGGAGGUCGGUCAAAAUUGGUUUGGUCAAUUUCAUUUUCCUCGAGUUGCUUGCAUCAACCAAAGUAAAAUGAGGGACAGUUGUUGACACCCAAUUUUGACCCACGUCGGUAGAAAUUAAUUAUCGAGCUUCCUAAAUUUUCCAAAUAAUUCAGAUUAAUUAGUUUUAUAAUUUUGCAAAAAAUAUAACGAUUUAACGUUUACAUAGUGGUGUAUAUAGCCGGUAUAUCUUGUGUAUAUUCUAAACCAACCCAACUUCCCCCCAUCAGCCCACACCCCUCCUCUUCCAAGCCAGGCCCAAGUUCCCUUCAGGCCCAAACGUUCCCAAUUCUCCCACUUCUCUUCCUAAAAUCGGCCCAACACCCAAAAUUCCCCUCAACCCAACCCAAUUCAAACCCAACAUUCCCCUCAACCCAACCCAAUUCAAACCCAACCACCCAAAAACCACCCAAAAACCCGACCCAACACCUGACCCAACCCCAAUAACCCGUUUUUCCCCCCCUUUCUUCUUCAGCCCCAUUCAAUCAACAGAAACCCAGAACAACAAACGAAACCCGGAAAACCCCCGCGUCUUCCCCACGCUCUCUCGCUCUCUCCCUCAUCUCCCCACGCUCUCGUCUCCCUCACGCGUCUCUUCCCCUACGCAACACAGCCAAUAAUUCCCAGAAAGAAACGCGACAAACUCCCCUGAAAUCGCGCGAUUCUCAGAUCGAAAAUCCCCAGAAAACAGACGCGACCUCUCCUCAUCGCGUCUCUCCCUCACGUCCUCUCUCCUCUCCUUCCCUCUCUCCCGCGUCUCCCCCACGCUCGCUCUCUCCUUCCCCUCUCGACAGAGACCCAUACCCUGCCGCUGUCGAGCAGGUCUGCAACACGCAAGUCGUCGCUGUCGAGUAGGUCUGCGAGGUGUCAAUUUCAUCCUCUCCAACACGCCUGGCCAUGUGGGUUUUGACCCAAAGGGAUUUCGAUUUUGAGUUCAAAAAAUGGGCGAAAAAUCGUAUCACCGACCCUACAUAAACCCCUCCCAUCUUCAUAAAAGAGGAGGGUUUUUUUUCACGAAAGAGGGGGAUUUUUUCAUCGAAAUUCGAAAAAAGUAGAACUUGGGUUGGACAUUUGGUCAAAAUUAAGGCUGAAUCUUUGGUCGAAACUUUUGGAAGCAAUUUGAGGUUGGAGAUUUCUGGACGAGAAGAAACUGUUUCAUCGAGUGUCGUUGCGACGUUCUUGUUCGAGCGAGCGAAGCAGAGGGUGAUUUCGAGUUCGUGAUAGUGGUGCUCCGCCUGCUCGCUGUCCCUGUUUCGCUGCACUUAAAGAGGUAACACCCAUCUUGACCCUCGACUCUUAGUUGUAUUUGCUGUUUGUACGUUAGUGUUUAGGUUGGUCCUAGCUGCUGUGAAUUUGUUGUAUUGCAGAAGUUGUUUGAAAUUUGUGGUUUUGUCUUGUCUUCGCUUGAUUUUGUCGCAACUUCCUGAAUUUGAUAAAGUUUUAAAGGGAACGAACGGUGUGUUUGGGGUAUUUCGAUCCGCCGAGUCUGUUUCUGCUCGUUUCCUGCUUCUUCCUCCUGUUUGUAUUCGUACAUGAAUUAGUCUAAGGGAAUCCUUCGUUAUUCUGCUUAUAAUGAGUUGUAGAUGUUACCCGUUUGGUCGAAGUGAAAUCCAAUUUCACUUCAAACUCUUCUGUCAUCAUCUUUAUUGUUAUUUCUUCUUUUGUUUUUCUUUCACUUUGAUGUCAAAAUGAUGUGAUGAUGGGUUCGACAGAAGCGAAGUAGUGCAUUGAAUGAUAAUAGUGAUGUCUUAUUUUGGAGUUUUGUCCUUUUUCUUUGUUGUUAGUUCGACAAGUCAAAUUUUAAAUUCAAAGAUUGCCAUAUACAUGCCUUGUUCUGUGAAAUUGAAAGUUCAUUGUUUGGUUGGGUAAGUAAAAUCGCCUCAAUAUAGUUAUUUACCUUGGGUCGACUCGCAUUUGUCAUUACUUUUCUCUUCUGUCGUCUCUUUCAUGUUGCGCUAGUCUGACCUUUCUUGUUACAUGUUGUCGUGUGUCUAUUGAUCCGAUUAGAUACUAUCCAUGGAUAUGCAUUUUCUAUUAAGUUAGUUUGUUUUCUUGUAUAUGUGCCCGUUGAAUCGAAUAUUAAUUCCUUUUGUUUAUUGUGUGGCAUGUAAAAUCCGUUUGAGUUCACCACGAACUCUCCUUCUCCGUAUCUCGAGAGAGUCGUAAAGACUCAUAGUCUUUUACCAAGCAAGACAACCUUAAGAGAGGCGUACAAGUCAUGAAGUUGGAAGGAGAAUCCAAAGUGGAUUAGAAGACGUUUCUUUAUUUUAUUUCCGUAUUUUAUUUUGUAAUGGGCAUAAGCCCUUGUCAUUUUCCUUUCCUUAUUCCUCUUAUAUUUUAUCUUGUAAUGUUUAGACUAGGACAGGUGGCAAAAUGGGUCGAAACACCCAAAAACAGGUGGGUCCAAAACUCGGUCAAGGUGAACAGUACCCGAGUUUGGACCCAAAAAUCUCUCUCUCUCUCUCUCUCCUUAUUACUUGCUUAUGUGCGUUGUUUAAAGUAUCGUUAGUGUUAGGACUAGAAAAAUCCAAAUCUCCUUCGAAACGCCUUUCUAUUUUAUCAAGCUAAAACUAAGUCUUAAAAUAUUGGACGUUUCAAAUUCACUAGUUCGUUUAGAGUUUAAAAUUUAAAAAGUUUAACUUUAAAAGAAUCUCAAAAACAAUAAGUAUUUCAACUUUUAGAUUUGUCCAAAUAAAACUCUAAUAAAGGUUCAACUUCAAAUUCGCAAAAGGUUAAAAAGUAGUCAAAUAAGUUAAUCGUCGGAAAACCGUAUUUAACGGAGUGUCUUAGGUGCCUUACACCUUCCUAAGACACUAAUAAGAAUCCCGAACCCUUAAAAAAUGUUUCAAAACAAUUGUUCUGUUUAGGUUGUUUAGAAACAAAGUUUUCUUGAUUUUUCUUAAAAAUUAAGUGGCGACUCCUAAAAGUCGAAAAACAAACUCUUUUCGAAAAUCACCCCCUUUUUUCGGUAAAACAAUUACACCAAGAACAACAAUAAUUCAGUGUAAUUUCACGUACCGACCUAAACCCUAAUAGUGUGUAAAGUUAGAUCCUUUGUUUGGAAUAUUCUAGGAACAAAAAAAAGCAUUUAAAAAAAUAAAUAAACAAGAAGAAUCCAACUCUAAAGCAAUGACUUUUCAAUACCCUUUGAGGGUGUCUAAUUUUUUUUCUAUAAAUAAGUGAAAUACUCAUCAUAAUUUUUAACACAACAAAAAAAAACACACAUUUUUUUUUUAAUUAGCUCUUUGAUGGCUGGUCUUCAAUACAAAUUUUUUCCAACAGAUUUUUUCUUCCCAAUUCAAAAAACAGUUAGUGGAGAAAACACAUCAAAGCAAAAUCUCUUAAUCAAGAUUAGAAAUAAUGAUGAGUCCUUAAUUGAGGAAUCAAAGGGCAAAAUUGUCAUUAACAACAACAAGAAGAAUCUCAAAGCUAUUUCUUCAUCUUCAUUAGCUUUGAUUUCUGUGCCAAAACAGAAGAAAGAUCAAGAUUAAUCAACUGAUUAUUCUUUUAAUCAUAUAGUAAUUAAUUGUAUGAUUAAGAAUAAUCUUGUUCUCUUUGCUAUCUUUUCUCCUAUUUUUUUUUCUUUGAGUUUAAUAAAUAUUUAGGAGGCUUUUGGGAAAAGUUAUUAGAUUUUGUUUGAUGUAUUAUAUAAGUUUGCAAUUCAAUAAGACAGGAACAAUAGUUUCUAUGAUCAUAUCUAUUUUUUCAUGGCUUGUCAAUUUAUUUAUUUAUUUAUUUGCUAUUUUUUGGUAGAAUUAUUGGAGUUUUACUCAUUUGAAUGAUGUGAAAAUAUUACUAAAAAGAAAAUGGAAGUAGCAUGAAUGAUGAAUAAAGUAGAUAUCUAUAUCCAAGAAUUCUGAUGAUUUCUCACAUAUUUCUCAAUAGUUCGAGAUUGAUUUAUAGUGUAAAUAUUGAUCGUUAUAUCGGUCAAAUUAUAGAUAUAAUAAUAUCGGUCAAAUUAUAGAUAUAAUAAUAUCGUGAAAAUGCUGCACGAACUUAUUUUAUCCAAAUUACUUAUUUUUUCUACAUUCAUAUAUUCUACUAUCUUAUUUAUAAAUCGAUUGGUUCAACUAUAGUAGUUGAAAUUACUUCUGUUCAUCAAACUUUUUAUUUACCUAUGUAUUGUUGUGGUUAGCAAAUCGUUUUGUAUUUGUUAAGAAGUCCUAAUAGGCGAAUUUUACGUAUUCAAAGUAAAGUAGAGUAAAAAAAAAAAACCCCAAUUUUAAACUCUUAUUAAAAAUAAAAAUAAUUGUUUAAACUAGAAAUUAACAAAAUUGCUCAAUUUCGAUGGUCUUGAGUCAAAUUUGACUAUUAUUUUCUAAUUUAAUUUAACAUGUUUUUGGUCAAUUAUGGUGGCUUUGCAACCACAAUAAUAUUUUUCAAAAUAAAUAAAAUAUAUAUAGAGAGAGAGUCAUGCACACAUGUCGUAUAUUUUGAAAUUAGUUUGUCAUAUUUCAUGAGAAUUAGUUUGAUUAUAUUUUAAAAUUAAAUUAAAUUUAUUUAAUAUAUGUCAAUAAGGUGAUAAAAAUUAUAUCUUAAAACAUGGUAAGAAGGUUUGCUUAUAUUAUAUCGUUAAUUGACUUUUAAGGCUUUAGUAGAUUAUUUUUAUUUUACAUGUUCUGUAAUUAAUCAUAAAUAAAAAUGAUGAUGAAAAGGAAUUGUUCAUAUAGUAAAGAUUAUUCAUUUUCAAAGUCCUAAUUAAAAAUUAUAAAUUUGAAUUAUCAAAAAAAAAGCUCGAAAGGGGAAAAAAGUAGUGGAUUUAAUUGAUUUCCACAUGCUCUUUUAUUGUCCUUUGAAGACUUCAACAACCAAUUUUACUUGAAACUAACUUCUCAUUAUUAAUUAUUAUUAUUAUUAUGCACCUUUUGUAUUGUCUACUUUAAUAUUUUUAGUACUCGCGUUUAGCAUAUGCCUCAUCAAGGAGCUUUAACAAUCUUUUGGUAUUAGACUAUUAUUAAUAUUUUAUCCGUAAGAUCGAUAAAUAUAUCUAAUCAAUUUAGUCUAACUAAAUAGUUUUUUGUUUAAGCUUAGUAUGUGCGUUGGAAGAUUAUUAAUAAUGUAAAAAGAUUAAUUUAUCAAGAUUCUGAAAUAGUUGUUCAAAAAUUUUAAACCCGUAAAAUUUGAGUUUCAACUCCAUUUAUGUAGGAACAAAUAUUAGAUUCGAACUUCACAUUUUGUAGAAGGAUAAUAUAUUUGAACAAUUUUUUAAAGGAGGGACAAAUUCUAAAUGAUUUUUUUUUUAAAAAAAAAGUGUAAAUCAACCAAAUGAUAAAGAAAAAAAUUAAAAUUUGAUCUUAUGGAGUAUGAAGAUGGAUUAUAUAUAUAUUUUUUUCGUUGAUAAAUUUCUAAUUUAAAUACUUUUGAAAAUAAAUAAAUAAAUAAAUAGACAUAUAAAAAUGUAAUAUUAGCUAAGCCUUGACAUGGCCCAACUAAUUCAUUGGACUUAAUUCUUGGCCCAGUUCCUAACUAGCUCAUUGGUCUUGGGCCUCCUGGCCCAUAACUAAUCAUCAAAGCCCAUCUAAAGAAACAAUCAAUAUAUUGUCUUUUUCUCAUGACUUUCACCUUUUUUUCGGUUUAUCGGAAAUAAUCUUCCUAUCGCACUCUAAUAAGGUAGGAGUAAAACUGAUAUAUAUUUUAUUUUCACCAAAAUUACUCUAAUGUUAUACUAGAUAUAUUAUCACAUGUGGAGCCAGGUGGGGAUUCUUGGGUUCGGACGAACCCAGUAGCUUCCGUCUCUGUAUAUUAUUAUUGUUUCUUUUUACUCCCAUCACGAUAAAUUCCUCAGUCUCGUAUUUUUUAAGAUUCUUUGAUGUUUUAGCUUUCUUCCUCAAAUGAAAAUAAAGUAAACAUAUUAUACUCAACUUCACAAGUCAUUUAACAAUAGUGAUAUCAUUUAAAAGGCAUAGCAUACAAAUAUGAUCCUUAAUUUGGCGUCAGUCGAUAACUAUGAUCCUUAAUUUUAAAUGUACACAAAUAAAUACUUAAACUUUUAUAAAAUUAAAACAAGUAAACAUGAUACAUAUCAAACAUUAUGUAGAACACAAAAUUUUCAUAUUAAAUAUCACGUAAAAUGAAUGUAUCAAUUUAAAUAAAUAAUAUGAUAUAGAAAGGUUUAACUAUCUUCGACCAAAAUUAUUCAUUCAUUUGGAAUUUCUACGAAUAUUUAGGUGGGUGGGCAUACCGACCUACUCAUCCAUGUGCACGACGCGGAUUACAGGGAAUUUUAGCUAAACAAUGGGUCCCACUUAACCAUUUAUUUGAAUACAUCAUCAUAACUACUCCAAUAAUUCUCCACCGUCCGAUCAAAACACUCUCAUCAAUCAACCGUUCACUAUAAAACAAUGUUGGCCCUACACACAAUUAUGAAAAAAAAUCAAUCACCGUUUUAAUGGUCCACACAAGAAGUUUCAUACCAAGUCAAUUACUAACACCUGUAUACACAAUUCUACUUUACCGGCUGCUUGUUUGUACUCGUUCGGACUCGAAAAAAAUAUUAAAAAUAUCUUUAAAUUUGAUGUGAGUUGCUAAUUUCGUUUUAUAACUGAUGAAACAUUAGAACUACCCCUCACACUUUUGUAGGAGUGCGAGAUUAUUAAUAAACUAAAGAAGUGUUUGAGCAAGAUCAGAGUAUAUUCAAAAAAGUACUUUUAAAACUGUCAAAAUAGUUUGAUAAUAAAACUACUAAUUCACGUCAAAUCUAGAAAUGUUUCCAAUACCUGAUUACUCAUGUAUAUCAGUUCUAAAUAAUGUAGGAAAUUACCGUUUCUUAAUCACAAAUCUCGAGUUUGAAUUUGAAUAUAAAAAAAUUCUAAAUUUCCCUAAAAUGAGGCUCUACACGACCGUAAAUUCGAAUUAGUUAAACUUCUAGCUAGUAUCGAAGAAAAGAAAGGAAGUAUAUCUACUAGUUGGGAAAAUUAACCGGUUUAUGGAAAAUUGACCGGAGCUGCCGGUUUGGUAUUAAAAAUAUCUGUUUGGCUAUAAAAGAAUAUUUUAAUUAGAAUUAUUUAACUCUUUCUCGAAGGUCAAUCAGUGGACUGGUUCGGUAUGUCUAACCUCAAGUUCGGUUCUAAACCUAAUAGGCUCGGUAUUCCUGCCUAUAAAUACAAGACCUUAACAGCAGAUAAGAUUUCAUACGUGUACGAGUUCGUCUCUGUAGCUGAAGAACAAAAAAUCUGUUUAAAGGUAUUGUAAAAACGCCAUUAUAGCUUCAUUCAAGCUUUCAAGUAUUUUUCUCGCUUCUAAUCUGUCGAUCUGUUGAAUCCUAUCUAGUUUUAUAUAUAUAUAUAUAUAUAUAUAUAUAUAUAUAUAUAUAUAUAUAUAUAUUUUAUGUAUAUGUUGUUAGCUUCUGUUUUUAUGAGUUAUCUAUGCUGAUGCAUGAAAAUGUUUGAAAAUUGUGAUUAAUUGUGAUAUAUGUUGUUUGUUGAGUAGUUUUAGAUUGGUUUCUGAUGUCAAUUUGAGUCAAUAUCUUGUACUUUUUGUUGAUGAAAUAGCGAAGACUAUGGUUUUGAGUAGAUCUGAUGAGGAUCGAGGAGUUUUUCGAGAAAGUGAGGUUAAUUGUUAUUGGAUUAUCUGAGAGAGGAUGGGUGGAGCAUGUUUGGCCGUGGAAAGAUGAGUUUUUUGAUUUGUAUGACUGUUAUGAGUUAGGGUUUGGAGUAGCGAGUUGAAAUUGCAGUAGAAGAAGGCCAGUAAUUGUGGUUAUGUUGCUUGGACUCUUUUAAAAAUGGUGAUGGUUGCGUGUCUGAUUGUCCAAAAGUAGUGUUUGGGUUUUUUGAAGGAUCCGACACGGUGUGCCAUCAUUUUUGGAGAGUCCGAGCAACAUAGAUGUGAAGUAUUUACCUCAUGUCUGUUGCGCGAUGGUUUUGACUGUGUAGUAAUAGGUGCUAGAUAGAAUCAUUGCUCAGAGUUUAGAAAGGAUACUGCUGAAGUUUGGUUAGAGCUAUAUCCACCUAAGACGAGAUAAUUCGGGUUUUCUAAGUCGCAUGUUGAUUGAGAAUGUUAAUUUUCCUUUUCUGUAGUGUUCAGUUACCAUACUUUGAUAAUAUUUGUUCAUGAAUUGGUUUAUUAGGCCAGGAAAAACUUCUACUUUAGUUCUGUGGGUGAUUUUAAUAUUGAAGUUGAAACUCGACGUACUAAAUAUGGUCAUAUUCGGUAUGUCAUGCACUAACGUGUUUUUUGUUUUAUCGAAAAACUUUA